UUUUUUUUCUUUUUUGGUAGGUCGGUUAUCAAAAUCCUCUGCAAUAUUAAGUUCACUGUUGUCAUCUAUUUUCUACAGUCACAACCAAAAUAAAUGGCAAACCUCCAACUGUCACAAACACUGUCGCAAGAAUCAGUUUAAACAGAGAUAAGAUACAAAACGGCAACCACUAUCGCAGGAAUCAGUUUAAACAGAAGUAAGAUACAAAACGGCAACCAUGGUGAUCAUUCCAUGAAAAUCUCAUACAUAUUCGUUGUACAAUAAAAAAAUAAAGGCUGAGGUUUAAAUUGAGAACCGGGACUAAUUGGUUCAUAAUUUAUGCAUGUCCCCAACAUGAAUACUACUGCCUUUAACAUAAGAUUCCCGAUGAUACUGAUUUUUUUCAUCUGAAUAAUGAUUUACAACCUAAUAUUUUACACACUGCACAAAGCACUCACUUCCGAAACAGAACAUAAGAUUGGACAUACUUACAGUAAGCAUUCCACACCAUGCACAUAUAACAGAAGCCAUUAUGUACACAGAAGGAAAGCGAGAGAAAGAUAAGCUACUUGGUCUCCCAAACCCUGAUGUUACCAUCUAUGAAUAGUGUCUCAGACAUUACGUACCUGUGGUGUACCCAUCGUUGGCGAUAUUGGAUGGCUCGACGGAUAUUUUUCUACNNNNNNNNNNNNNNNNNNNNNNNNNNNNNNNNNNNNNNNNNNNNNNNNNNNNNNNNNNNNNNNNNNNNNNNNNNNNNNNNNNNNNNNNNNNNNNNNNNNNGAGGUGCAGGAGUCUUGUACUGUUGUUGCUGAUAGUUAGGCCUUGCUGGGGCUGUCUGCCACGGAUGAGCCUUAUGGUUGCUGGAACCACCAUUACCCAUCAGCCUGCAAUUGCCAGUAUCAUCCAUAGCAUGGUGCUUGUCUUCAAGCAUGAGAUCCUUAUUCACCAGAUAACAGAAGGUCCGCAGUCACAGACAACAAGCUGAUAUUGUAGCGACUACUGAAGCCCUUCCAUGAAGCGUUCUACCUUGGCGGCUUUAGUUCUGACAUCAUCAGGCUCAUACCUCGACAAGACGUUAAACUUCCGCAGGUACUCCUUGACUGUGUUGCUGCCUUGCUUCAGUGCACAGAACUCCCACUUCUUGAUAGUCAUCAUUCCAGGGGGAAUGUGAGCAGCGUGGAACUCAUCCUUGAAGGCAGCCCAAGUGAUAACCUGCGCGCCUUGCAGGAUUUUGAACCCAUCCCACCAAGUCCUAGUACUGCCUUCGAGAUAGUGAGAAGCAUAGAGAACCUUUUCACGGUCGUCGGUGCACUUAACCAGCGCGAGGACGUCUUCUAUGGUGUGGAUCCAGUCAUCGGCAUCCAGGGGCUCAGUUAUCUCAGUGAAUAUUGGAGGCGUAGUCCUCAUGAACUCUGACAGAAUGGAGCGACCAUUGCCAUUUUCGCCCUUCGGCGGGUUGUUCACUAAGCCUUGAGCUAUCUACUAGAUAGCGGCGUUGUUGGCUUGGAGUUCCUCUCGGAGAGCCUGGAGGAAUUGAGCCACAGUCAGGUUCUCUGGAGGAGGCGGUGGCUGUGGAAUAUCGCCUUGGGGCUGCUCCUGGUGAACUCCAGCUUCGGCAAACCCACCGGCUCCUCGUAGCUGGCUAGAUUCAUGAGUACUGGGUUGGACGAAGGUACUCGUUCGAGUAGCAUUCACCAUACCGUUUGGAGCAGUCAGGUCAAUAUCCCAAAAUGGUCGAGAGAAAAGCAUCAAGGGGAAACGUGCCUACAUAAGGGGGUUUUGGUAUGGUGUGCGUGUGUCAAACUAGAAGCGUCGAAAAAUCCUAAGAAUUUGCAUUAAUUGUGAUAAAUGAUGUAGCCGCUUACAUGUUGCCUUGGCAAAAAGCAUGGCUUGCAAUGAGACACAAACAGAAAAGCACACAACAAGCACACAUGGUUUCAUAUGAACCAUUACACGGACUCGACUUUGCAUGGGUAAUCGUAGCUUGCCCUAAGACAUCCAUUCUACGUGGCGGAGUACUCGAUCUCAUACUUGCGCUCCUCAGGGUCUUCCUUUGUGUCAUCAUCUGUGAGGUCAUCACCUCCCGCCAAGGGCGUGGGGGGAAGAAGAAGUCCAUCUCGACGACGCUUCAUGGGAGAAGCGGUGAGGAGUUGUGUAUACUCCUCAAUGAUCAUGCGGCGACUCCGAAUAGGGGUGACCUUAUGUGGUGGUAUUCCUCCUCUGUAUAUGACAACAGGCUAUCCUCCGAGUGCUCCUUCCUUCUUGACCUUGCUUAUCUUCAUCUUUUCUUGGCGGAGUAGCUCUUGGACAUGAUAGUGUUCUUGACGAAGCCACGCUGACUCCUUGACUAGGUUGCGAACCAGGCUGUCGGCAGAGAGGCUGAAGUAGGUUUGGAACCUGAGUAGCAUCCCUUCCUCCGGAGUGGGUUUAGCAUCCAACUCCCGUCAGCCUCGUCCUUAACAAAAGGCAGGUGGUAGGUAGCUGCCUCAUUGGCCAUCUCUAGAAGGAAGUCGCGGAUGUGAACGAGUGCUUCUUGUGCUGCCGUCUCAACUGCCAACACCCGAGUCACCAUCUGUGGCCCUUUAAAGAACCAACUAGUUGGAGAGUCAUUUGCCUUCACAAUCACAUCCACAUUAUAUUCUUUUGUGCUGGCAUUUACCCAGUGCUUGUGUUAGAGAUAAACGGAAGUUCGGCAUAUUUGACACUUCUCCAAGCUAUACCCUAGAAGUAGGGGAAAGCUAGUUUCCAGGAGUGUCUCAGGCACGACGCCAUCUACAAGGUUUUAGGAGAGGUGUCAGAAAGAUGUGAAUGGUAUAGAAUGGUUGCAAGGGUGUAUAAAACCCCAAGUGUAAUGACUGAGUGUGCUAUUCAUUCUAGCUAACGUCCGUCCUAUCUAAGGCUUCCGACAGUCGGGACGGCUCUGGUACCAGCUCUGUGGGGACCCCGACUUCUGGGUCGAGAUCACUGAAUGAAUGUGUACAGUGAUCCCAGAGAUCAAUGCUCACUGAACACACAAAUACAUAAUAAUAAGAGUCUUACAUCCAUAAAUAACGUCUGAUAUAGAUAAUGACCAUUAUGGUCAAGUCAAACAUAGAUAGGGCCAUGAAGGCCAAACACACCAACUCAACUACUAGCAGAAAUCUUGGUAGUAAACGUGAACCCGUGGCAUCAUCCUUAACCAGCAGGCAUUCUGAUCGGGAAGCGUCCUAGUUCACGUGUCCAUAUCCGACGACAAAUUCUUCUCCAUAUUCUAGUUCCUCCAUGUCUGGUCAAUAACAUAACCAGUGGCAAGCCAAUGAGUACUUUGAAUGUACUCGCAAACAGCCCAUGAUGCGAAUUAUGUAAUUGAAUGCAAUAUGAAGUAUAAUGCAGCUUUGGCGGAAAGCAUGUUUUAUUAAUGCAUAAACAUGGUCAUGUAUUUAGAUGGUCAUGCAUCACUAGGUAAAUAGUAACCAUGAGAACAGGUUACAAAUAUCAACACAAAUAUUACGAGGGCUGAACAUCUCAUGUUCACCCUUCAUGUCAAGUCACCAGACUUGACCCAAGUAUUCCUUCCUCAUGAAACACCUUUCCACACACACUUGGUUUAUGCAGCAACAACUAGAUGUAGUUUAUGUAACAGCACCCAACUGUGCUUGACCGUGGACACGGCUAUUCGGAUAGUUUUACACUCUAUAGAGGUUGUGCGAUGUACCCACGAGAUCCGGGAAACUUUUGUGUCAUCCACGACUCAUGGUAUAUAACAUACCCGAGGUAAGUACCAAAUCAAUGCCUUUCCCCCGAUGACACUAGACAAAGAGUCCACUCGAUUGGUACCCAGCACACAUGAUGUACGUCUUAAGAACACCAACUCUUGACCGUAUCAUCCUUGUAGGGAUCAACAGUGUGCGCGGAACACGUAAAAACGGCAUAGUCGUCCUACCUGGCACGACCCCAUCAUGGGAGUGACCAUAUCACUCCUGCCACUAGUAAUGCGGGCUCUGUGCUAGCACCGACCAGUGUAAUCAACAAAGACCCGUCCCAUAAAAGGGUCUCGUGGCCGCACAUGUAAGGUUUGGAUGGUCGACAAAUCUUAAAUCUAAUCCCAUUUCCAAAACCACUCACACAAUACCUUUCCUGGUACACCACUUCAUUCUCAAGUGGUCAUCCAUCUCAUCACAAUCACCCUCAAUGUCGGGGGGAUAACCCUGCGGUAGGCUCAUCAAGCCUACUCCUUUGCCUUCCGCCAAGAAGGAACAACAAGAACCAUUAUGUAAAGACCAAGUCCCCGUGGCCAGCUAGGAAGCACAUGCCAUCUCGGGGCGAGGCGGCCAACUCUCUGCCCGGCCAGGAAGCUCCUGUCGGCUAGAGGCCAAAUGACUACCUCUCCCUGGCCGCCUAGGCCAAGCCAGCCGGCUAGGGGCAAGGCGGCCGUGCCCAGGAUGGCUAGACAAGCAGGCUAGCCGGCUGGGGAUCACAACUCACAUCAGACUGUAGGUCAUGAAGAGACCCUAUGGUUAAAUGUGGCUACGCGUCAGCAAAGGCACCGGACCGGGGUGUACGGGAGGUACAAGCGUCGGCGGCCACGCCGCUGAGCUCCUCCGGCUCCAAUCCAUCACCCUGCACAGUGUCGGCCCAUCAAACUCCCACUCCAUUACUGCACUCGGCGUGAGAACAGUGGAGACGGCCAUACUGCCUGCCCAUGACGAUCCUCGCUGGACGACGCCGGACGUACCACAUGUGUCCUGCAUCAACCUUACGCAAGAGCCUUAUUGGCUAGCCGGUGGGUCCAACGGCCAGACGGGAGCUCGCAGCCGGCGGGCCCUUCUAGCAGCAAGACAAGAUCCCAUGGGCCCCCUGGCCAGGCGGUGAGACUGCUAGCCGGGUCCCACUCUUAUACCUUAUAUCCAUAUUGUAGGUCAAUGGGUUCAUCUAUAAAACCCCCCGCCCCUCCAUGCAGAGGGUCUGUCAACUCAGCACACACACCAUCCACAUAGGAGAGGCAGACGCGAGCCGGCAGCUCCUUCUUCCUCCUCCGCAAUACAGCUCCAGUUGCACUUUGUAGUCCCAUUCAUACAUCAUACACUCCGGCAGGAUUAGGGGUGUUAUCUCUACGCAGAGCCCUGACCCUGGGUACAUCGUGCGUUCCAUGCUUGUACCAUCCUCGUUCCCAGCACCCUCCGGUGCCACUUCGGUUCCCACCAUCCUUAGUCUACCCAUGGCUUGUGUUGUGAGUAAACACCGACAUUUGGCGCCCACCAUUGGGACCUCCGCGGCAUCGGCUGGCUUCACGCGCUGGGUGGGGCCCUGCUCUUACACCCCCGGAUACAUCGCGUCCAGAACGAUCUGGAUGCCUGUGGACCCUGCCUUCGAUGAGGCUUCACCGAUGAUGAUCGAUGUCCCAGUCCGUCAUGUGGAGUCCAACGAUGAGUCACUCCCCAGCAUUGUCAUUGCGGCUAUGGAGAACCUCAGCGUUCUCUUUAGCGAUCUGCGUCUCGGUGACAGUCCUCGCUAUCCUGGCGAGGACUUCGAUGUCGAGGCAUUAUGCUCUAGCUUCAGUAGGCUCUCUAUCGCUGAGACGCCUAUGUUCGACGUGUACCCCAACAACGUACUCGUCUUUGACGGUCCUCCGUCUUCUAUGGGGCUCUUUACCCCAUUUCAUGUCGCUACCAUCUCCAACGUCGUGGAGGUGAUGGUCAUCGGCGCUGGCACCAGCACAUCUCAUGGCAACGCGUCAGCAGACGUUUGUGAGCCUCCUGCUGUCACCGCUGACUCUCUUCAGGCCGCGCUUACCCGCUUGAAGACGCCCAUCUCCACCUCCACAAACCCCACCGACGCACGGGCCUGUCUGGAGGAGGAUCGCAGGAAGAUCUUGGAGGAGGGCAUUGCCAUCACCGCGGCUAAACGCCGGAUGGAGGCCACGCAACGCAAGUACAACUCUGCCUACGGGUUCACUCCGGUUUCCGAGGCCCCUAGCCGGCUUGGCUCGGUCCGUGGCCGCGGGCGGGACAUUGCCGAGAUUCUUGGCGGCAAGCAACCCAUCUACGAGACUCGUGCGACCAACUUACGAGCGGCCCAGGCGGCCAUGGCAGAAAUGCCAAGUUCGGAGGGCGAGGAGCGCGCCUUCCAGGAGAAGCGGGUCAAGGAUUUCCUUGACGCCGCCAACGAGCAGCAGACAUGGCUUAACCCCGGUCAAGCUCAUUCGGAGUCUCCGGGACCCAAUCUCGGAGCUCGCCGUAACCCCAGCGGUCAUCAACAAGCCGAAGGGUCUUCCUUGCAUCGCACUUCUGUCCGGAAGGGCGAGGGCAGCCGCGACACGCGUUCUCAGCGCUAGAGCGAGCAUACUUAGAGCCGGUGUCACAGGGAUGAUGAGAGUGAUUCGGUAUAUGAGGUUCCUCGUCCUGGGAGGACCCAUGCUACCGGCUCACAAGGCGCCCUUCCGAUCGCGGCUCGGAUUGGCGCUCGCGUCCCACGGUCCGCUACGUGCCACUCAUGCUUCGGCCCCCGGAUCCGAGGGGAGCUGUUUCCCCAAGGCUUCACUCUGCCUCGGGAAACUCCCAAGUACAACGGCACCGCCAAGCCAGAAGACUAGCUGAUCGAUUACACCACCGCCAUUGGCAUUGCCUGGGGCAACAAGCGCGUAGCCGUCCGCUACGUGCUACUCAUGCUGGCCGGCUCGGCUCGGACAUGGCUUAACAACCUUCUAGCCGGCAGCGACAACUCGUGGGUCGACUUCGAGGAGGCGUUCGUCCGCAACUUCACUGGCACCUACAAGCGCCCUGGCCGGCCUCGCGAGCUGGCCAUGUGCGUCCAGAGGCCCGACGAACCCCUUCACGACUACGUCACGCGCUGGAUAGAGCUUCGCAACUCCUGUGAGGGAGUGCAUGAGGUAUAGGCCAUCCAGUACUUCAUCGACGGCUACCGAGACGACACUCUCCUCAAGCACAAGCUCAUGUGCUCUGAGCCCACCUCUCUGGCGGUGCUCAUGGCCAAGGCGGAUAAGUACGACAGGACCGACUCAGCAAUGCGGGUCAAGGUGACCUUCUCGGACAAAGUUGUCCACAUGACAACAACUCCCAAGCUGGUUGGUGACAAUCGAGGCGGCCAGAACAACAACAAGCGCAAGGCGGAUGUCGGGACCCCGAUCCUAAGCCAUAGGAAUCCAGCCUGUAACACAUCGCAUCUCUUUGCGGUCUCACGCACGGUUAUCCCCACGGCUGCAGCCUUACCUUAGCCGGGUCCGUUUUCGCCUUUUAACUCAGUAUGCAAUUGUGUCGCUAGAAAUCCAAUGACAAAGAACCCGGAUCGACAUGUCUAGUCAUAAACCAAAGCGGCAGUUCCGUACAGGGACAGGCAUACAUGACCCAGCAAAGCAGGUGUCGAUCACGAGCGAAUGUAGACGAGUCGUAGCAAGCUACAAGGACUCCAUUACAUCGCGUGACAUUUCCUCAAAGGGAUAGACACAGCAUCUAAGAAGGACACAUGCGGGUCAACCAAUGUGUCCGGAGCAGUAGUGAACUACCAUGGCUCGUUGGAAUCACAAAGGGGCAUUUCCCUGUAAGGAGUGCUACUAAAGCCUACGGAUAGGUAUUCGAACCCCAUACAUAUCAAGUACAACAUACGUACGUGAAAGGACGUGGAUGUCGCCUAGAGGGGGGAGGGGUGAAUAGGCGCUUUAAAAUAAUUACGGUUUAGGCUUGAACAAAUGCGGAAUAAAAUUAACGUUUUGUUUGUCAAGCACAAAACCUACAACAACUAGGCUCACCUAUGUGCACCAACAACUUAUGCUAAGCAAGAUAAACAACUAAGUGAUAGCAAGAUAUAUGACAAUAAACAAUAUGGCUAUCACAAAGUAUAGGGCAUAAGUAAAGGGUUCGGGUAAGAGAUAACCGAGGCACGCGGAGACGAUGAUGUAUCCCGAAGUUCACACCCUUGCGGAUGCUAAUCUCCGUUGGAGCGGUGUGGAGGCACAAUGCUCCCCAAGAUGCCACUAAGGCCAUCGUAAUCUCCUCACGCUCUCGCACAAUGCAAGAUGCCGUGAUUCCACUAAGGGGCCCUUGAGGGCGGUCACCAAACCCGUACAAAUGGCAAACCUUGGGGGCGGUCACCGAUACCCGUACAUAUUGCUCGGGGCAAUCUCCACAACCUAAUUGGAGACCCCGACGCUUGCCCGGAGAUUUACACCACAAUGAUUGAGCUCCGAGACACCACCAAGUUUCUAGGACGCCAAAGCAUCCACGAAGAACAAUAUCUAGGGUACUAAGUACCAAAGGUAAUAAGCUUCUCAAACUUCACUUCCACGUAUCACCGUGGAGAACUCAAACGAUGCUACUAAUGCAAUGGCAAGGGCACACGGAGUGCCCAAGUCCUUCUCUCCCAAAUCCCACCAAAGCAACUAAUGCUAGGGAGGAAAAUGAGAGGAAGAACGAAGAAGAACACGAAGAACUCCAAGAACUAGACCCAAGGGGUUCCCCUCACUUAGAGGAGAAAGUGAUUGGUGGAAAUGUGGAUCUAGAUCUCCUCUCUCUUUUCCCUCAAGAACUAGCAAGAAUCAUUGGAGGGAUUGAGUGUUAGCAAGCUCGAAGAAGGUCAACAAUGGGGGAAGAACACGAGCUAAAGAGAUAAGGUUCAAUGGGGAAGAAGACCCCCUUUUAAAGGUGGGGAAAAAUACAACCGUUAGGCCUCACAGCCCGCACAGAGCGGUACUACUGCUCGGUAGGUUCACCAACCAUGCUGAGGCCAAAAAGUAUGCAAAAAACAGCCCGAAGGAGCGGUACUACCGCUCCUGGAGCGGUACUACCACUAGGGAGCGGUCGUAAAAAAUUACUACCGCUCCGGGGGCGGUACUACCGCUCGAGGAGCGGUACUACCGCUGGAUACUGAAACUGCUGUAACUUUCGCAUACGGACUCCGAAUUCAACGAAACCAAGUUUGUUGGAAAGCUAACGACAUGGGCUAACAAAAUAUUGAUAGAAAUAUCAACAAGAAGCAAGAGAGGAAAGUCCCAUAAGAAAAUGGUGAGAACCCUUCUUUGAAUAAGACCGGUAGAAAAUCCCAACAUCGAAAAUAUCAUAGAACAUGCAUAUGGACUCCGUUUUUGAUGAACUCAAGCUUGUCAUGAAGAUGAACAUAAGAUCUAAAACUCACAAAGAGAAACACCAAACAAAAACCAAGAAGUAUGAUGCAAGGAUGCAAAUGGUUUGAGCUCUCAAUGAACGAUACGAUCAAGCUACUCACUUGAGAGCCCCCCUUGAUAGUACGACAAUCUAUCCUAAAACAGAAAACCUAUCAAGGGCAAACCUAUACCUUGCACCUCGUCCUAUUGAGAUAGAUGACGAUGAUCCUGGCUUCCUCAAGAUGGACCACCUUUCUUGAUUGCGUUGGCUUGAUGAAGACUAGUUGAUUGCUCCCCCAUACACACUAUGGCUGAGCCGCUCUUCAGCAUAUCUUCACAAGUCCAUUGCCACCACAAUGGACGGCAAGCAUCAAGCAUGAUAUAUUCGUGCUGAUCCACUUGAACUUGCACACCGCAAUCUUGAUGACGAUCACCACUUGACGUCAUCCUUCAUGGGUUGUAUGAGAUCUUCCUUUUGACGCAAGCCCAUGGAAGCACACCUAACCCCCACACAGAACUCUCACAAAGACCAUGGGUUAGUACACAAACACGUAAUGGACAAUGCUUACCAUACCGUGGGAUCACUUGAUCCCUCUCAGUACAUCUUGUACGCUUUGUGUGUUGAUCAUCUUGAAUUACUCUUUGUGUGAGAUCUUGAUCAACCUUGUGUCUCUAUGACCAUUCUUUGGAUAGUACCUUGAAUACCAUCUUGGUCAUCAUAUAAACUCCUUGAACCCAACAGAUGGACUUCAAGAAGUGUCUAUGGACAAAUCCUAUAAAUAUAACUUAAGACAACCAUUAGUCCAUAGGAAUUGUCAUCGAUUACCAAAACCACAUAUGGAGAUAUAUGCUCUAACAGUACGCAUGGCAUACCGAUAUGUAUAGAUACAUCGAUGGCAUCACAACAUAACCACAAACAUACAAACUUUAUUUAGAAGGCUCGGAAGAGCCACACACAUAAUAUUACAAGGUAGGGGUCUCAAAACCCAUCAUCACAAGUCAUACACACAAUUCUUACAAGCCAGCGGAAGAGUAAAACUGUCUAAGUACAGACAGAUGGAAAGAUAAAGGCACAUGGCCUGACUAUCUACAGACCCAUCCUAGGGCCAGAACGUAGCUGGGAUACCAGCUACUCGUCGUCGUCGAUGUCUAGGUAGAACCCUCCAUUAGGGUCAUUAACAACCUAUGCAACAAUAUAUUUAGCAAACGUUAGUACAAAAGUACUCAGCAAGACUUUAGGAAAUCUAUCUACUCUUGCAAUGUAUCAAUAAGGAGUUGUGGGGUUUCAUGCGGAAAGCCAGCAGUUGACUCUUGGCUAGACAACUUACAUUUUAAAAUAGUUUUGACAACUUUGAUUUCUCACACACGUGUCCACUAACACCAGAACAAUACUCCAUCAUGGAAUCAUUUCGUAUCCCUACGGAAAUGCCGUACACGACACUCACGCUUAUCUUGACAAUUUUAUGAGUAGCCAUUAUAGUUAUAUAUGAACAACAUAUGUUUCCAAGUAGUCCAUAUCCGCGGACGCGGCUAUUCGAAUAGAUCAUAACCCUGCAGGGGUGUAGUUCUUCACACACGUCUCACCACUUAUCGCCAUGUGCACGUAAUGCACCUCGGCAACCUCCAAGGGAGUCGGCCACGACCGUUAACCACGCUAAUACUUAGUCCAGGUCUAUCGCCUAUCUGAGGGUAACCCGCACGGAAGUCCGGCCGAGGUUUCCGCCACGGCCCCAAAGGAUGUGCGCAGGGUUCCCAAGUCCACCAUCCGGGUGCCACUUGUACACCGUGCCACUGCCUACCGCAUCAUAGCCCACCUCUAAGGUCAGCGCUACACACGGCCUCCAGCAUGACUAUAAACACGAGAAACUACUUGCAACUCCUGGACCGAGUACUAAGCGAUUAAUAAGACGAGCGGGGUCAUAUUUCAGGGCCCAGCAUGUGGUAGUAUCUCGUCUUGGAUUACAUACACGCAACUCAGUUCCUAAGGACGGUUCCAAUGAAACAACCCGCCAUGUACUCCUACACAACCUUUCACCGGUACCUUUACCAAAUCAGGUUCAACACACAACCUUUACUUACUGACAUCGUUCCCACAAUUCUGUUCAUCACCCAGAUGACAGACCAUACACAACUUAAGCAUAGCAUGCAUAGCAGGACAAGGCACAUCAUGGCUCAAGCAUCUACCAGGUAUGCUAGGUUGCAAGGUUCAGCUAUUUACUGUGACAAGGACAGGUCAUGCAAAGGUAGUGGGUUCUACUAACGUGGUAAAAGCAGUGAAAUCAUUUUGACCUAAUGCAAGAAACAAGAGCAGGAGCGAGAACAUGGGAUUUAUCGGGAUGAUCAAAAUGGUUGCUUUCCUUGUUGCUGAGAAGAGGGACAAUAUCCGUCAGUCGAAUAUUCGGUGGAAUCCGGAGGAGUGGGGCCUACCCGUAAAACAACAUCAAUCAAUAACAUUCAUAUGCAACAAGAUGAUGCAUGAGCAUGGCAUGAAAAUGAAAGGUGGUAGGCUAAUGUAGCUAUCUUUUCUUUAGUUCGAGUUUGAUUUGAAUCAAGAUUCAAAUAUCACUUCAAACAAGGUAUUUUUUCGAAUACCCUUUUAAUUGAUUCGACCUGAUGCUGAGGUAAUCUUGUUUUAGCAUGCAUGAGGAUGGUAUGUUGGGGUGCUGGUUGUGCUUGAUCAUGGUUUGGUCAUAAUAUUUGAAGUGGAAUUCAAAUGGAUUUCAAAUUCCAACUCCAAAUUAUUUAAUAAGGUUAUCCUAUUCAUCAUUUUAUCUGUUUGGUGAUGUUAACAUUUUCAAACAUGUUUGUAAAUAUCAAAAUCAGAUUCCUUGGAUUUUUUUGAUCAUUUUUCAUAUAUAAAUUAUUUUCAUUGGAGUUACAGACUAUUUUCUAUGAUUUUUAGAAGUUUUGGGCAUUUUCUGGAAUUCUUUUAAAAAAAAGAAUUUCUUUAUUGCGUCAGAUCUACGUCAGCACUGCGUCAGCAGGUCAGCCGACCUGGUCAGGUCAAACCUGACAGGUGGGGGCCACUGUUCAGCGACACAGGAGAUAAUCCCGCGCUGACCAGCCCCUAUGUGGGUUUGACCCACUGCUAGGGCCCACUGUCAUUGUCUAAUUAGCACUAAAUAACACGGAUUAGGCCGGCCACGUUGUCCCCUGCCGGAGACUGACUGGCGGCGAGCAGAUCCACGGCGGAUCUUCGCCGGAGAAACACCAGAGCUUGCUGUGGUGCUCGGAAUCGAGUGCUGAAAGCACUGGGAUGAUCCCCAGGCUCGACCUCAUCCACUACGGGCAUCCUGAGGGACUGAGGGUGGCCGGAGGACGCCGGCGAGGAGCCGAGGCGGCUGCCGGAGCUCGGGUUCGUCGGUCUGGUUGCUAGAGUGCAAGAAAACAAGGGGAAACGCGCGCAAGCUCACGGUGGAGACGAUGGAAGGCUCAGACGGCUCGGGGAGGUGCUGUAGCCGGCGAUCCAACGUCGAUUUGCCGGUGGCCGGAGGUUGAAGACGACGGCACUGGGGCGUUGUAGAGCUCAGGGAGGUCGAUUCCUUUCGCGUGCGCGUCGAGCUCGAUGAGGCGGAGAAGAUGGAGUUCUCGGGGAGGCUUCCCUGUGGCGAGAGAGGUCGGCUGGCUCGAGCUCAAGCUCCUGCUAAUGGCGGCAGGGAGAGGAGAGGAGAAAACUGAGAGGAGGGGGAAGAAUGGAGAGCAAGAGAGGAUAAGGGAGCGCUCGGGGAACUCAUCCCGGUUGUCACGCUGUCCUGGGGGCACCGGGGAGCGCCACGGCGAAGCAGGAGGUCGAGGGGAGCCGCCGUGGUCGAUCUAUCCUCUGCCAGAAGGCAGAGGAAGAGGACGACCCUGCCCCUGUGGGCCGGGCCUCUACACGUGAGCGUAGGAUAGGGUUUUUUUCCUUUUUCUUCUAUUUCUGUUUGCUGUUUUAUUUGCUCAUAUUAAUUGCUAUUUAUUUUGGCUUCAAGAAGCAAUUCAAAAAUUAGUUUGAAUAGCCCUGAGUGUUAGUUGGAAUAUUCCCAACUACUCCUGUAGUUUUCAACAUUUUUGAAAACUUGAAUGUUUUUGAAUUCAAAUUUAAGUCUGAAUUCAGGGGCUUUCUGAAUUUAAAUAAAAUGCCAAGGGUGUUUUAAAAACAGUUUUCUCCCUUCAUAAUUUGUUUUCAAUAUUUAUCAGAAAAGAUGAACUUUUCUUGAGGCCGUUUUGGGUUCAUUGAUUUUGGCAAGUUUUAAUUUCCUUUGAAUUAAGAAGUGGCGAGGGUUUUUGGGUUGUGUUUCACCACUUCCUUUGGGUUUGUUUCAAUUACUUGGAUGCAAUGAAAGAAAACAUGAGCACAAGUUACUAAACCCUAACAAGGAUUAGGGAUGUGGCAACUCACCCCCACUCAAAAGAAUCUCGCCCCGAGAUUUGGAAGUCGUCGGGAAUAGAACGGGAUACUCAAGUCGGAGACGAUCCUCUCUUUCCCAUGUUGCCUCCUUUUCGGAAUGAUUUGACCAUUGAACUUUAAGAAACUUUAGGUUUCGACGUCGAGUCGUACGCUCAGCUUGAUCAAGAAUACGCACAUGGUAUUCUCGGUAUGAAAGGUUAUCUUCGAGAUCAAGCGUUUCGUGGUCCACUUCACGGUAGGAUCCGAAAAGCAACGCCUGAGUUGCGAGACGUGGAAAACAUCAUGAACCUUGGAAAGAUGCGGAGGAAGUUCCAAUUGGUAGGCAACUUCUCCUCGUUUGGCGAGAAUGCGAAAAGGACCAAUGUAAUGAGGAGCCAACUUGCCCUUGAUACCGAAUCGAUGGGUACCCUUCAAAGGUGUAACCCGAAGGUAAGCCUUCUCAUCAAGUUCAAAGGUCACAUCCUUAUGAUGACGAUCAUAUUGGCUCUUUUGACGAGACUGGGCUGUUUUCAACUUUUCACGAAUAAUGCGAACCUGCUCUUCUGCAUCCUGGAUCAUAUCUGGGCCAAAGAGUUGCCUCUCUCCGGUUUUUGAUCAAUUAAGAGGUGUUCGACAUCCUCGUCCAUAGAGAACUUCAAAAGGAGCUUUGCCCAAGCUUGAUUGAUAACUAUUGUUAUAGGCAAAUUCGGCGAAUGGAAGGCACUUCUCCCAAUUCAUACCGAACGUUAUAACACAAGCUCAGAACAUAUCUUCUAGGAUUUGAUUCACUCUUUCUACUUGACCACUUGAUUGAGGAUGGAAAGCAGUGCUAAAAGAUAAGUGAGUCCCAUAGCAUUUUGAAAACUCUCCCAGAACCGAGAAGUAGAGAUACUUCCACGGUCUGAGUUAAUCUCUAGAGGAACACCAUGAAGAGAAUAAGAAGAGAGAGAAGCAAAGAAGAAAAAUUCAAGACAAAAUAAAAGAAGGCUUAUGGUCGAAAUGGGUGUCGGUUUAUGGGCGUUCUCCAAGGCCUCGAGCUCCCGCACCUUGCUCGCUUAGGCUGCGCAGGAGAUCUCUUCCUGAAGUGUCGCGACCGUCUCCAGCGCCUUGGGAAACUGCGCCUGCUUCUAGAUCAGGGCUACCUCGUUAUCCUUCAGGGCAGCAUCCUUAAGCUUCAUCUCUUCAAGAUGAGCCGUCCUGAGGCGCUCCACGUCGGCAGCAUGGGAGGCGUCCUUCUCGUGCAGUGUGGCGCGCAGCUGGUCCUGCUCAGCCUGGCGGGCUGCCUCGCGAUCCUUCUUCUCCGUCUGGAGAAGAGUCAGCUGCUGCUGGAACCGCUCGCCCGCAUCGUGCAAUACGUCUCGCUCCGAGACGGCCACACCCAGCCGGCCCUGAAGAUCAGCAACUUGGCCAUCGGCCGCGUGGGUUUGAGCCCGCAGCAUAUUGUAUGCCUGCACUAGGGCGUCAUGAAGAUCCUACACGCAAAAGCAAAAGGGAAUAAGAUUCGGCUCGCCUAAUUCAUAGUCGACACGAUUCUUGGGGGCUACACCCAGUGGGUGUGCUAGCGCGCCCCCACUAAAAAGCAAAGACAUGGCACAAAGAGAUUCAGCCUGGCAAACGCUUGGCCAGCCCGAUUCUCGGGGGCUACACCCAGUGGGUGCGCUGGCACGCCCCCACUGAUUCAAGAGAAGAAAAAAUCAAAACCAAGACGAGCAAGACGAGAAGGAUAAAGCCUUCACCCUGGUGCGCUCCUCCAAGCGCUCCAGAUCGUUGUUGGCCACCCUGGCCGCUUGCCGCAAUUUGUACCGACUGCUAGCAAACAUCACGACCAGCUUCGUGACACUGCUGAUUACGACGCUUGGGGUCAACGUCAGGUGCUCGGCGUUGGCCACGUGCCAAGUCUUCAUGGGCCGACUCCUAGAGCUGCAGCUGGCUCCUGGAGCAGAUGGACCACGAUUGGUCACGAUGAUGGCACCAGCUUCACGUGGCUAGUUGGUGGCCGGCUCCAUCGACGCCCCAACCGGCGUCGUCUCCGCAGCAGGGGGUGGGUCGGCCGCGUCCGGCGCGUCCAGGGCCAUCUCUGGCGCCUCCAGGUCCAGCUCCGGCGCGUCGGCCGCCGCCUCGGCCUCCGGUGUGUCGGGGAUCACCUCAAGGUCCACAGGCGCGGAGGCGUCCGGCUCAGACGGCUUGGCUGCCUUGGCCCUCUGGGUACCCCUCGGGGCCGUCUCGCUAGCUCGCUCCUCCACGUGAGCACACGUGGAGGGGUCAUGUCUAGCCUUCGUACGAUUCUCCCUGGGCUUCUCAGCCCGACGGGGCUGAGAUUGUCCUACGGCCAUUUUCUUCGCCGCCUCCUCCGAGCAAUGGGCAGGCUGAUCGUCAAGGGCCUUCUGGGCCGCCUCAGGUGCUGCCCAGCCAGCCCGUUUGGCGUCGGAGGCAGUUUCUUGCUCCACGUCUUCUGGGUCCCUGCAAGGCAUGAUUUCAGGAGCCCAUCCUUAUUCAACAAAACUAAAAGAGGGCAGUAAAGGAUCCUUACCCCACCAUGACGGGCACCUGUUUCCUGAGGGCGCCGGCUCGACGCUUCUUGGCGCCGCCUGCUCACCCUCCAACAGGAGGCCCAAGCGCGACGCGUUUGGAGGCCGGCUUGGAAGCUACGGCACCCUUGCCCUUGUUCCUGGCCGCCUCGCCAGGCGCGGCCGUCUUGCUGGCAUGACGGCGGCCUCGGGUCAUUGGAGGGCUGGUGACUUCCUCCACCUCUUCGGCACCCUCCCCAAAGGCUGCAUCAUAUGAAGAUGGUGGCGUCUCGUCAUCGUCCGUCCAAUCAACAAUGGGAGGCCACAGGUGCUCACCAGACGACUCAAAGCCUUCCGACUCCAGCGCCUCCUCCGAGAUGGCGUCCCGAGUCUCGAUCAUCCCCUCAUAUUCAAUCUCCAAGGGGUCCGACGUCUCCAUGUCUGGAGCCGGUGGGGUGAGCUCUUGCAGCUUCUCAAACAGCUGGAUCAACAACAGUUCGCAGCCGGCUUAAACAAGAAGAAACAACAGUUUCAAAACACGAAGCAAAUACCCGAUCCAUAGGACACUUACCAUUGGGGGAGGAUGGUGUCCUAUCGUAAGGGACCAGCCCCCACCCCCAGUCUCUUCCUUCAUCCAUGUUGGUGGAGGAGAUCUGGUGCACGUUCUUUGCCAUUGCUCCAGGGUGGAAAUUCUUGGUGGAGAGCAGGCAAGGAUCGUCCCGGCCACUCAUCUGACAUAUCAAAUGAGGCCAUAUCUGCAGAGGUAGGACUCGGCACGUCAUCAUGGUGGUAAGAAAGUCACGGCCCACGAGGCCGCGGUUCUUCAAGCUGUCGAGGUAGGCGCCUAUCUGCGCCACCUCGUGCUUGGGGAACUUGGCUUGCCAGUUCUUCUUCGCCAUCGGAGGCUCGAUGGCGAAGGGGGGCAUGUUGAGGGCGUCGCUGGUGGGGCUGGCAUUCUUCACAUAGAAGAAGCCCCUCUGCCAUUGCUUGAUGGAGUCUUGGAGCGGCAUCUAGGGGAAGCCACACUCCAUACGGUGAUGCACCAGUGUCGCGCCGCAUGGGGUCAUCGGGCGAGGGCCGUCGAGCUUCUCCAACUCGUCCUUGUCCAUCUUCCUGGACUGCUGCUUGAAGAAGAACAAGCUCUGCCAGAGAUCGAGGCAGGGCUUGAUCCCCAGGAACCCCUCGCACGGGACGACGAACGAGGCAUGCUGUAGGAUGGCGUUCGGCGCCAGAUGAUGCGGCUGUAAGCCGAAGAAGGAGAGGAAGUUGUUGAAGAAGGCGCUCGCCGGGAGACCGAAGCCUCGGUAGAAGUGUUCAUCGAACAAGACUACCUCUCCCUCCAGCGGCUUCGGAGCAUUCUCGGUUUCGGGGAUCCGCAUGGCCACAAGGGAGGCUAGAGGCAGCAUUUGGCGAUGGGGGAGCGCGUCGAUGUGCUCGACGCAGAUGUCGCUUCCGAGCGAGGCACCGUUGUGCUGUCCCUUCUUGGAAGAGCUGCUCGAUAUGGCGGCGAGCGGCGAGAACUCGAAGGGACAACAGCAGUCUGCGCGGCGGUGAUGACAAAGAAGAAGACGAAGUCUCUCUCUUUGGGCUCACGGAGGAGGAAGCGCAAAUGUGGUGUGAGAAGGGGGCGAAUAGCCUCCUCAGUACCCCUGCACCCCAUUUAAACCCCAUGAAGGAUCGUGGGGAGGGGAUCCGGUGUGCACCGGUCCCAUUACCACCAAUUAUUACGGAGGCUUUUAUGAUUCCCGAAACCCAACCGUCGCGGAGUAAAUCCGCGGAGGAUCCUCCGCGUGAGGGCCGAGGGGGCGUCAUGGCAGGACCCAGGGCUCAGGCCCCGUCCCGUCAAACUGAACAAACCAUCAUCAUGUCAGGCUAGGCCUGGCACGUGGCGCGAUCUGCGCCCUACGACGAAGCUGAGGCGUUGCUAGGAAGCCAGCCAACUUCCGAGCCAGUGUCCUCUGCCGCAGGCGGCGACAAGAGUUCGACAAACAACUUAAGCCGGCGAGGCCGCCCGCUCCAAAGCGGCGGGCCGACCCAGCUUCGGGGACUACUGUCGGGGGGAUAACCCCGGGGUAGGCUCAUCGAGCCUACUCCUUUGCCUUCGGCCAAGAAGGAACAACAAGAACCAUUCUGUAAAGACCAAGUCCACCUGGACGGCUAGGAAGCACCUACCGACUAGGGGUGAGGCGGCCAACUUUCUGGCCGGCCAGCAAGCACCUGCCGUCUAGAGGCCAAACGGCUACCUCUCCCUGGCCGCUUAGGCCAAGCCAGCCGGCUAGGGGCGUGGCGGCCGUGCCUAGGCCGGCUAGUCAAGCAGGCUAGCCGGCUGGGGAUCGCAAGUCACAUCAGACUGUAGGUCAUGACGAGACCCUGCGGUUAAAUGUGGCUACGCAUCAGCAAAGGUACUGGAUCAGGGUGCACGGCAGGUACAAGCGUCGGCGGCCACGCCGCUCACCUCCUCCGGCUCCGAUCCGUCACCCGGCAUAGUGUCGACCCAUCAAACUCCCACUCCAUUACUGCACUCAGUGUGGGAACAGUGGAGACGGCCGUACUGCCUGCCCAUGAAGAUCCUCACAGGACGCCGCGGACGUACCACACGUGUUCUGUGUCAACCUUACGCAAGAGCCUUAUUGGCUAGCCGUCGGGUCCCACAGCCAUAUGGGACCUCGCAGCCGGCGGGCCCUUCCAAUGACAAGACAUGACCAGAUGGCCCCCCUGGCCAGCCGGCGAGGCUGCCAGCCGGGUCCCACUCUUGUACCUUUUAUCCAUAGUAUAGGUCGGUGGGUUCGUCUAUAACACCCCCCGGCCCCCUCCAUGCAGAGGGUCGGUCAACUCAGCACACACACCAACAAAACAGGAGAGGAAGACGCGAGCCGGCAUCUCCAUCUUCCUCCUCCGCAAUACAGCUCCAGGAGCACUUUGUAGUCCUAUUCAUACGUCACACACUCCGACAGGAUUAGGGGUGUUAUCUCUAUGGAGAGCCCUGAACCUCGGUACAUCGUGCGUUCCAUGCUUGUACCAUCCUCGUUCACAGCGCCCUCCGGUGCCACUUCGGUUCCCACCAUCUUUAGCCUACCCAUGGCUUAUGUUGUGAGUAAACACCGACACUCGCGCAUUAGUGGCACCCGAUAGGGUUUUCGAGAAACCUUUGAUAUCACCUUUUGUGUUACCAUCACCAUGCAUAUUCUCAUCCCAUGCGUAGCACUAUUGUCUACUUGUCAACUUUUUAUCAGCGUGACCCUCAUAGACGGUAAGGUCAUGCUAAAAUUCAAGUGCUCCCGUGGAGCCAUCGGAAACACCAUAUCGAGGUUUACCAAUGUAUCAUGAUCUUAUGCAUCGGAAUGAAAUAAUCAAAUAUUUUCUCAGGCAUGGUCAAAGGGUUGCUUGCCUUGAUCAGCUAGGUAUCCUCGGUCUUCGAGGUCUUCGGGUCCAAGUAUUUCGUUAAACGCGUGAUCUAUCGUUGUAAUAGAUAUAAUAAUAAUAAGGACCACAACCUAAAACAACGUAAAAACUCACAUAAAAAAUGUUACCCAAUUCUGAAAAAUCCUAUUAUUAUUUAUCAAAAUAUUUGUUUCUGGUUUUGGAAUGAAUAAGUGUUUUUAAAGUCUUUUUAAGAGGAGUUAAAAAUACUUAAACUAGGUUUUAAAAUAAACCUGUGCAUAAAAGUUUUCAUAAAAAUUCCACAAACAUUAUUGUUAAAUACUACAUGAUUUUACAACAAUUAUGGUGGAAAAUUAUUUAAGUUCGGAUAAGGAAUUAAUUAUGUGGAUUUAUUUUUAAAAUCCAGAUUUAAAAUAACGGAAAAAGGGCCGACUUAUUGUCCAGGCUCGACGAGCAGCUCGGCCGACCUAGCUGGCUAACCGGUUAGCCAGCCAGCCCAGGCGCGCGCGCGUCGUAAGGUUCAAACCUGACGGACGGGUCCCUACAACUAGCGACAGAGAGGAGAGAGAGGGAGAGAGAUGUCGCACACACAUGGGGUCCUCCUAUCGGGGUCAUCUUCUACCUCUAGAUAGAGGAGAGGGGCAGCUCACCGGCGGCAACUCCGUGGUUCUCAAGGUCAGGUGUGCACGGGAAUGGACUCGUGGCAUUGCUGGCUACCAAAUGAGGGUCAAGGGGAUGAUGGAGGUGGCCUGAGUCGCCGCCGAUUGGGGAGAAGGAAGGGGAGUGGUGGAGAAGGCUCGGGAGGUCUAUGCGGUCACAGGGGGAGUGAAAGGAGCUUUGGAGCGUGCGUGUAGGCCGAUAUCGAUGGAGCCCCGAUGCGGCGGUGCCUCAGUCGUUAUUGAGUACCGGGGUUCUCUUAGCUCAAGGGGGUGCUCGGGGUGGUCGAUUGCAGUGGAGAGGGAGGUUCUGGUGGUGCGGAGGAGUGCGGGGGAGCCUUUAAAUAGGCAGGCGAAGAUUCACCGAAUGGUGAUGCAUCGGUGAUUUUGCGUUGGCGACAGGAGAGGGAGAGAGAGCUCGGAGGCAAAACCGUGGUAUUGCGGACAUGGUUUAGGACCGCGCAGCUUCUCCAGGAGGAGCGAGGGCAGUCUCUUGGUGAGUUUAGGUGGCGGGGUUCUUCUCACCACUUCGGCCGAGAGCGUGCAUGCGUAGCAUGGGGCAGAGGAGAGGGGAAAAAGAGGGGGCCAAUGCUGCCCUGGACUCAGUUAUUGGUGUGGUCAAAGAGGUGCAACGAGUGGGGGCAGGAACUAGUCGACACUGGACCCCUUGGGCUUGGGUGCACUGUGUAACACGUCCAGAGCGUAGCUUUGGCAUGCCACGGCAUGCUGGCACGCUCUGGCGCGUCUUUUCCGUGUCUGGGGUGUCUGGGAGAUGGGUAGAUGCUCCUUGGAUGCUAGGAACCGAUAGGAAUCAAGCUGGCUAAGGGGAGAGAUGUAAGGUGGUGCUGUCAGUCUUGAUUCAGGAGCUAAAAUGGAGAUUUUGGCUGCCUCCCAUUGAAUCCUUGCUGGGCCUCUCGUCUGCAGUUGUGGGGGGCACAUGCAAUCUAUGUCAAGAGUUUGGAGCAAAGGGACUAAGUGUGGAGGGUGCUAGAUGCUGAUUUUCAAAUCUGGCAGAAGGUGUUUGAUGCAUGUUUGGGGAAUUUAACCUCCUCCAAAUGCAUUGAGAGUUAACAAGAUUUGGUCUUGGAUAUAAUUAGUUGGCUCUUCCAAAUUUGAGAUCCAUUGGACAAGUUUGGCAAUGUAAACUUGAAAAUUCCCACAAAUGGGCACAUCUGCAUUCUUGUGAGAAUAUGUGAACAAAUCAAUUCCCACAAAUCCAAUUCAUGGCACGAUCUACUUAUUUGGGGUAUUGAGCACUCGUGCAAAGUUUGAGACCACAUUGACAAACUUGGUAAUGUAGAGUAGCUCCAACUUGAUUCAGGACAGGAUGGGUUUCUGAAUUAUUUGGUAAAUCAAAUCACCUUGGUUGGAGGUGAAUCUUGGCACGAUCACCAAAUAUAGCAUGUGGGAUAUGCUAGAAUUUUCUAGGAAUUAAUUGAGAAUAUUUCCUUUACAAAUAUUCCAAAAGGUAAAAACAGACAGACUAGGGGUUGAAACUUUUAUGUAUGGAAAAUAUAUGUCCUCUGAGUAUGCCCAAAUUUUCUCAGAUUUUUCUAAGGUAGAAAAUAAUUUUUGACCCGGAAAUAUCAUUUCUAGCUUUAGAAAAGGACAUGUAAAUAAAAUAUAAAAAUAACUUUAAAAACAAAUAUUUUAUGGUUUUGAAGAGUUUUAUUAAUAUUAGAAUCAAAAUACAAUCUUUGGGUGAAGGCACUCCCUUAAAUUCAUGGGCUUGUAGUGCAAACCCCAAAGCAUGGUUUUGGUUUACUAAAAUAAUUAAAAAGGAUUUUUAUGGAAAUAAUAUUUUAUAAAAACUGUUUUUAGGGAUCUACUCACAAGAACACAUACAAACAAUGACAAUCAAGAAACUCAUAGCAUUUUAUUAAAAAGGUUUUAAUUUAUACCAUUUUUUGAAAAGAGACACUAAAGACAAAGUGAUGUGAAAACAGGGUGUGACAGAGUCGUUCCCCGACUUUAAAAUGCCACCUCGGGCCUCCCUCUACCUCCCAUCGACCUCCUGCUACUCCUAAUCACACUCCUAAACCACCCACUCCUUUCUAGAGGCUCCCGAGCUCGAGAUCGAGCUCCGGAUCCACCGCAUCCAGAUUCCGACAAUCCGCGGGUACAAGGCUGCUUUGACCCUCCUUUCUUCCCCAUUAAAACCACGACGGCUUCCUGAUGCUUCACCCCCUCUUUCGUAUUCUUUUUCUGCAGGAUCCGACCCUCGCGAUCACCCUCCCGAAGCACCUCCGCCAUGGGACGUUGCCGCCGGCGACUCGCUGCACCUCAAAUUCUCCCUCCACCACCCAUAGAACAGCCAGACGACGCUGGUUUUAUUUCCAUCAUCACCGAGCCUAGGCGUGCCCCAUCUCGCCACCGGUGAGCUCGCCCUCUCUCCUUUCGGGAGGUUGAAGAUGACUCCAAUUGGGCCCCGCAUGUCAUCCUCCUCUCCCCCUCCCUCUUUCGCUGACAGCUGGGGUGUCAGCUGAAGGCGUAUAACUCCUUUGCGCCUUCGACGUGAUCGCCUGGCAUGGGCUGAUUUCCCUCUAGGCCGGCUUUGUCGAGCCGGUUUGGACCAUGGGGAAUAGUGGACUUUUUUUUAUUUCAUUUCCAAAAUCUUUCAAAAAUUCCGUGAGAUUAAAUAAUUAUCCAAAUUCAAAUAUUCCUCCACCAAAAUCUUGUAAUAUUGUGUAGUAUUAUAGGGUGCCACUGGUGUAAUUUUUACAAUUGGUUGCAUGCACUGUUUUAUUUCAAAACCCGGUUUAGAGAACUUUAACAUUCUGUUAAAAUAGUUUCUACAACUUUUUACAGUCUGGAAAUAAAAUCCAAUAAUUUUUGCAGAACCUAUACUCAUCUUAGUAUUUAACAAAAAUGGUGUGACUUUUCUUAGUAGAUUAUUGUCUCUGUUUGUGGUUGAGUGCUUAUUUUUGCCCGUCGAUAUUGUGAUGGUAGAUUGCAUUGCUGACGAAGGACUUGGACCACAAGACUUUGAAGACCCGAGAGACUUUUUUGAGCAAGGCAAGAAGCCCCUUGAUCAUUUCUAAGAGAAUACUUUCAUGCAUUAUAUAUUUAGCAUUUUAUUCUGAUGGAUAAUACCAUCUUGAAUCGGUAACUACCUCGGUGGGAUGGUUCCGGUAGUUCCUCGUCGACACUUGUACUUGGACAUAGCCCUACCUACCUAUGAGAGUUGUGCGGGUGGUGUGUAGUUAGGUUGCUUGUAGUGCUACGCAUAGGAUUGAGUACAUGCAUGGUGACUCCAAAGGAUGAUUAUUUCAAAAGUUUUACGAAAACCCUGUUGGGUGCCACUAAUGCUGAAGGGAGAUGUGUUGAGCUAGGUAGCUACUUGAUAAAGGAGUGGUGUACCGAGGCCAGUUGUGUGAGUGGUUUCUAAAAACAUGAUUAGAUUUAAGAUUUGACGACCUUACCAAUCUUACAUGUACAACCACGACAACCCUUAUGGGACGGUGCUUUGCUGAUUACUAUGGACGGUGCUAGUAGAGAGCCCUCAUUACUAGUGGCGGGAGUGAUGUGGUCACUCCGAAGAUGGGGUUGUGCCCAGAAAUGACGACCAUGGAUUCUUUAACACACACCGGGCGCACCCUUGCAUGCCCUCGUGGAUGAUACACGUGAUGCACAUCACGAGGGAUUCCCACCAAUAAGUGCUCUCUUUGCUAGUACCGUCAUGGGAAAGGUGAUGUUCGGGUACUUACCUCGGGCAUUAGAAAUGCAGCGAGUCGUGUCUUGACAUGGAAGUUUCCCCAGUCUUGUGGGUAAAGUGUGCAACCUCACGAGAGUGUAAAAUUAUUGGAGCAGCCAUGUCCAUAGUCAAGGACAGUUCUGUGGUGCUGCUUAAACUAUGUGCAGAAGUUUUCACAUAAACCAAGUGUGUGUGGGGGGAUUGUGGAAGUAUGAAUGUUGCUAAGUAACAUGACUUGGAAUGAAGAGUGAACAUGGAUUGUUCAGCCCUCAGUUUAUAUUGAAAUACGUAACCUGUUCGCACGGUUAUCACUUACUUUAUGAUGCAUUGUCAUGGCCUAGUUUAACCUUGCUUGCAUUUUUAUUUUCUUUUGAUAUUGAAAUGAGCAAGUGAUCAAGCCUCAGAAACCAAAUUUUGUCAAAUAAGCAAUAUAAAAAUUGCCUCAAAAUGUUCCUGGUUUCCUAAUAAAAUAUUGGCAUGAGAUAAAAUUCAUAUCAAUUUUUUUGGGUUCAUACAAACAUUUUAUUAUGGGCUUUUGAAUUAAUUCAAACCCUAUUUGCACCGGAUAUAUAUUUUCAAUAUAUAAACUAUAUGUCCAACAACUCUAAGAUUUAUCUUGUGGCUUUGGAAAAAAUCCAUUUAAAACUACAUAUAAAUUUUUAGGAGUUUAAGAAAUGGUUCCAUAUUAUUUUGGACCAAAACAAAUAUCAUAAAACAGACAAUAGAAAAGAAAAUAGAAAAAUAAAAACCUACCUGGCUUACCUCGCCGAGGAGAGAAGCCGACCCAGGUCAUCAGUGGCAAGGGUUCUUCUUCUUCCGCGUGCGAGGAGGACAAACAAGUGCGUCGCAAGCACCGAUGGUGCCUAGCCACCUCCUGCUUGACCCGAGCCACGUCCACGAAUGGGAUAGACCCCGCGGAGCCAUCCACAUCUCGCUGACUCAUCCCCUCUUCCCCUGCACUCACUUUCUCUCUUCUCCUCUGUGUCUCACGCACAACCGAGCACCAUUGAGAGCGCGCUGCUGUCGCCGCCGCAACCACCGGCCACUGCUCGCUUCCUCGUGCUGUCCAGAAGAACCGCCGCAUCACCCUUGUCCACUACGCCAAGCGAAUCAAAGUCGGAAGCCCUCCAUCGUCUCCAUAGUCGCCGAUUUCACUGUCGGACACCGAAGCUCGCCGUUGUCGAUUCGCGAGCCCCCAAGCACCUCCGACCUCACCAUCACCUCCAUCGGAAUCGUCGUGAGCUGCAGUGUCGUUCCCCCUCUCGCUCGUCCUUCCUAUGUCCCCUAGCUAGCCCCCUUGAUGGAGGAGAGAGGUGCUCGCCGCCGACCAUGACACAGUCAUGCCCAUAACAACGGCAGCCCACUUCUGAGCACGGAAACAUGCUCUACACCUCGCGAGCUCGCCGUAGCUCCCUCCAGCUCCUCCUCCCAUGCUCCCUAGCCUCGAGCCCGUGCUGACCCGAGCUCUGACCGCCGCAUAGUUCGCCGUUGGCGCCUGCUCUGGCUACCCCAGCUCCUCCUACUACCCCUGCUGGAUGAGGUGCUCCUCCAGCUCGUCAUAGCCGUAGACCGCAUGCCAAAUGAUGCCCUCUAGCAUCGAUUCGGAGAACUCCGGCGAGCCACCACCGCGGGUUUGGUUGCCACCGGCCACACUGCGAUCGGCACUUAUGUGGCUGGACACUUAGUGCUAAUUGCACUGCCUUAGUCACUGACAGUGUGCCCCAGAGGUGGGUGAAACCCCGAGUCAGCGCGGGUUAAGCGGGAUUAAACCAGGGUGACUGACUAGUGGACCCCACUAGUUAGGUUUGACCUGGACCGGGUGUGUUUGGCCGCUAACACAAUGCUGAAGCAAUUAGUCCCAUUCUAAAUUAAAUUAAACCAGGAAAUUCCAGAUAAUAACCGUGAAAAAUCAGAGAAAAUAAUAUGUAACUCACAUUUAAAUAAUUUAUGUAUGAAAAAUUAUCAUAAAAAUUCAAGAAAUUUGAUGGUACCAUCUUCAUGCAUGUUUCAACAACUUAUACACACCGUUGAGGACAAUUUCACUAAAUGCAUUUAAAUUCAUAUAAAUGGGUUUGAAAAUUGAUCUAUAUUGAUCAAAUACCUUCCAUUUAACUUGUGAUCACUUGCAUUACCCAAAACCAGCAACAUGUGAACAUGCCAUGCUCAUGCAUCAUUGUGAAGCAUUUUUCAUGCUUAAUUUAUUCCUUGUUUGAUCUUGUCAAUAGACUUGCGAGACAUAGUUAUCAACGGCAUUGAAGAAGAGCUCAGUUCUUCUGAUCACAAGGAAAGCAAGCCCCCCUUGAGCAUUCCGAUACAAUCCAACUCUCUCGCUCUUGCUCCCAUUUCAAUGCAUUGGGAUAAGAUGAUUCAACUGCUACUUGUGUUACGAUAGAUGAGCCCAUUCCUUUGCAUGAUCUGUCAUUGUCAUAGUAAAUAGCUAAACCAAGUAACCUAGCAUACCUGGUAGAUGAUUGAGCCAUGUUGUGCCAUUACCCUGUUAUGUUUUCUAUGCUUAGAGUUGAGUUGGUCUGAUCAUCUGGAUGAUGAGUUGGAAUGAACAUGUCCUAUUGAUGAGAGUUAAGCAUGUGAACCUGUUUUGGUAAACGUAGCGAUGAGAGGCCAUGUAGGAGUACAUGGUGGGUUGUCUCGUUGACAGCGCACUUAGGACCUGAUAUUUGUUAUGGUGUUCCAAGACUAGCUACUACCCAUAUUGGGUUCCGGUAACUCAACCCCUCUCGGCCUAUUAACUACUCUGUUCUCAGUCCUGGAGACAUAGUAGUUCAAAACAUUCACAGGUGGUGACACGACAUGUGAAGUGGAUGAACAGCCCAAUGGGGCCCUGUUCCUAUCGUUUGAGGCCAUGUUUUAAACCUCGGCCGGACUUCCAUUAUGGGUUCAAACUCAGAUAGGUGACCACCUUGGACGUGAGUCAUUGUAAGUUAACGUUUGUGGCCGACUCCCUCGUUGUGCUUCAGCUUGAAGGUUUCCGAGGUGCAUGAUGUGCAACAUGGCUGUAAGUCGUGGGAGCAUGUGUGGCAAAGUACACCCGUGCAUGGUAACUAUCUAUUCGAAUAGCUACGUCCUCGAAUAUGGACUACUUGGAUACUUGCAUGGUUCAUAGACUACUUUAAUGGGUAGUCUAAAAUUUUCUAGAUAAAUAUGAGUGAUAUGGAUGGCCUUCUCGUAGGAUGACGAGAGAGGAUCCAUGGUGGUGUAUUUAUAAGGUGGACAUGCGGACUCAUGUGCGCUUUCUCGCCGCGAGACGAGAGAGUUAUGAUACAAUUUCAUAGUCUAGGUCAGCCAAAGGUCAAAGCUGGCAUUUCUGAGUAAACCCCACAAUCUCGUUCAUCGAUACAUGAUGAAUAAGUAGUUAGUUCUGAUAUAAGCCUUGCUGAGUAACUUCAUACUCACUAUUGCUUAUUUACAUUUUUGCACAGAUAGACAUUGUUUCCUUCACAUUUCCCUUUUGAUGUUGACAUCGACGGAUUACCUUGGUAACCCAGAUAGUGGUCUCGCUCCUAUGGUAGGGUCAUUGUAGCUUUUCCAGCUCUUCUACCUGUUUUAGUAGACGUCUAUAGCCACACAUGUAACUUCCGCUCGUUGUUUGUAUGCUUUGAAUGUUGGGUCAUGUGACCCCCCUGCUUGUAACAUUAUACUAUGUUGGCUCUUCGGAGCCUUCUAAAUAAAUGAUGUGUUGUGGACUUAUGUUGUGAUGCCAUGUUGUAUCUGCACAUAUCGUGCAUAUUGUGUAUAUGUUUGAAAUGCAUUGGUCUGUGUAGGAUUCUGCAGCUCGUUGUGUGCCUAUGGUAGCCUGCGCUAUAGGAAAAUGCCUCUUUGUGCUUUCAUUGAGCCUUGGUAGCUUGCGACUCUUCCGGACACACAUAUUACCGGCAUGUAUCCUUCUUUGCUGUUGUGUUCGUCCCUAGAGGGAAAUGUCAUGCGGUGUAGUGGAGUCCAUGUAGUUUGCUACAACUCAUCUACACAUGCUGAUGACCGACGAAUGCAUUGCCGAGUUAUGGAUGCCUGUACCUAUAUGGUUGUGCCACUUGGGUUUAUAACUAGUCAUGUCGACCCUGGUUUUGUGACAUAUGAUUCCUAGUGACAUAGUAAUAUACGUGAGCCAAAAGAUGCAAAUGGUCUCGGCCAAGGUAAGGUGGCAGCUGUGGUGAUUACCGUAUGUGAGGCCACAAAGUGAUAUGAUGUGUUACAAGCUAGAAUUGUAUGGCUUAGGAUCGGGUCCCGACAACGUUCGUAUUAGAGCUUGGAUGUUUGUAGGAUUACCAACCGAAACUGGUCGAUGGUGAGUCCAGUAAUUCUUUAGUUAUAUAAGGGAAUUGAUUGUGGAAGGGAACAUAAUAUUAUUUGUACUCCUUUCCUUGAGUCACUCUAUUCUGAGUCACCCUCUUCUCUUCUAUGGGGGUUAAGGACUAGGUUUCUCACCUAUCUACUAGGAUCACGAGUUAUGUGAUCCGUAGGCUUAUAGGAUGUCUCUUGUGUCUCAAUCCUAUACCCAUCAGAGUCGUGAGAUGUGAUACUAUGUUCUUGUUGCAUCUUGAAUCCAUGAUGUUGAGUUGUUAUGAUGCUCAAAUUUCUUGCAUGUUGCCUCAUAUUUCAUGCCGGUACAGCCGUUUAUGCUGUCGGAGUUAUCCUAGGUUUUCAUAAGUUUCAGUGUUCUUCCUUGAUUCAGAACCCUAGUUGUUUCCUUCAGGAUGUUGUCAGUAAUCCGGAGUUCUGUUGGCCAUGAUCAGAACCAUGGAGAUGGUAGAGUUGAAGAAGAUCCGGCCGCCCUUCCUUUGUUGGUGGAGGUUAGGCUAGAAAUUGAGAGGAACAAGCAUGCCACCAACCAUUAUUUUGGGCAUAUCGAGCAGAAUACAACCCAUCAGUGCAAUGAGCUAGUAUCGACUAGACACUUCAUCAAAUUGAAUCCUCCGACCUUCCACCAAUUCAUUCAGCCACUAGAUGCAGAUGAUUGGCUCUGAAGUAUCCACAACAAGAUGUCUUAUGGAAACGUGGUUGAAGGAGACAAGGUUACAUAUGCCAAGUAUCACCAUGAAGGUUCUGCUAGCCAAUGGUGGGAGAACUUCGACGUCAUGCGUCCUACGGGCCAAGUUACUUCAUGGGAGAAGUUCUGUGAGGUUUUUCGUGAGCAUCAUAUUUUGCAGGCCCUGAUAGAUCAUAAGAAAGAAGAGUUUUUCAAUCUGACUCAUGGCAAGAUGGUUGUCGAUGCUUAUAGUCAUGAAUUGGGAUGUCUUGCGUGUUAUGCACGUGAAAAAGUAUCCACGGAUGCCAAGAAGCAAGCUAGGUUCACGAAAGGUCUUAAACCCAAAGCUUCGUCAUGAUCUCAGUCUACAUGAGUUCAUUAGUUUCGAGGUUCUUCUCAACAAAGUCAUCCAAGCAGAAACAAGCAGAAUGACCUACUAGGAAUCUCGCAAGCACAACCGUGAUGUAGGAUCAUCUUCAAUAUCUAUAUUCCAGAAGCGCAUGAUAUCAAUUUCGAAUGCUGCUCUUCCUCCAAGAUAUGUACCGAGCCAUCCUAUGUGGCGCCUCGUCUGCCGAUGCCAAGUCUUCCCUAGAAGAACCUCAUCAACCAAGUGUUCAACCCAGAUCCACAUCCCAUUUAUGGAGCAUGCUUCAAGUGUAGCCAACCAAGACACUACUCAAGGGGUUGCGCUCUGCGUGGUUAUUUUCCACCCCCUUGAGGAAUGGGUGUUGUUCGUUGCAAGCCACCGACCAAGAAGUCUAAUGGAAGGUUAGUUGCUUUAACUCGUGCAUGUGUGCACCAUGUAUCUAUAGAAGAAGCUCAAGAUGAUGUUGAUGUCAUGAUUAAGAUGCUUCUUGUCAAUUAUCAUCCAGCUUCAGUUCUAUUUGACUCUGGAACAUCCCACUCCUUCAUCUCUGGAAAUUAUACCUCCUUGCAUAACAUUGAUUUCGAGGAUAUGCCUGCUCCAUUAGUAAUUCAAACUCCAGGUUCCAAAUGGAAAACUAAUGCAGUAAGCCAUGGGACUCAAAUCCUUGUCGUUGGUUCAAUAUUUGUUGCCUCCCUGAUAUCUCUCAAGACUUCUGACAUCAAUAUCAUUUUGGGGAUGGACUGGAUGACAACUCAUCAUACCAAAAUUGAUUGUUUCUUUAGGUCUGUUCGGCUGAAUCAUCCUUCUGGCCAGACAGUCAAUGUCUUGUGUGGUAUUCCAAAACGCGAGAUAUAUGCUCUCAAUGCAAAUCCUCUUACAUAUCUUGAAAACAACCCAGUACUCUGUGACUUUUCGGAUGUCUUUCCAGAAGAAUUGUCACAUGUUCCACCUCCCACAGAAGUAGAGUUUGUCAUUGAACUUAUUCCAGGAACCGCUCCAAUUGCUAGAAGACCCUAUAAUAUGUCUCCUCAAGAGCUAGCUAAGCUUAAAAUCCAACUCGAUGAAUCUUUGAAGAAAGGUUUCAUCCGUCCUAGUUCUUCUCCUCGGGCUUGUCCAGUCCUCUUCGUCAAGAAGAAGGAUGGUACGAAUCAAAUGUUGUGGAUUAUCGACCGGUUAAUCUCGUCAUGAUAAAUAACAAAUAUCUGCUCCCAAGGAUUAACAAUUUGUAUGAUCAGCUCGCUGGAAAUGUAGUGUUUUCCAAGAUGUCUUUGAGAUUAGGUUAUCAUCAAAUCAAAAUCAGGAAUGGGGACAUUCCCAAGACGACCUUCGUCGCUCGCUAUGUCCAAUACGAGUACACCGUCAUGUCCUCCGGUCUAACCAAUGACAUAGCCACCUUCUCUCGCUUAAUGAGUUCACACUUCAUGGAGUACUUGAACAAAUUCAUUGUGGUUUACCUCAAUGAUAUUCCGAUUUACUCAAAAAUCAAAGAAGAACAUGCUGAGCAUCUUAGGAUGGUAUUGAUGAAACUUCGAGACACUGCCUUUAUGCCAAAUUCUCUAAGUGCGAAUUCUAGUUGCUAGAAGUGACCUAUCUAGGUCACAUAAUCUCUGCAAAACGUGUUGUUGUCAAUCCCGAGAGAGUUCAAGCCAUUGUUGAUUUGACUCCAAAUGAAUCGGUAAAGCAAGUUAGGAGUUUCCUUGGCCUAGCGAGCUGCUAUCGCCACUUCGUUCAGAACUUCUCCAAAGUUGGCAAACCUCUAACUUAACUCCUCAAGAAAUAUAAGAAGUUGAGUGGUCCCCAUAGUGUCAGGAAAGUUUUCAGAAGUUGAAAAGACGACUGACUACUGCUCCGGUACCAGUCCCCCCGGAUUUUACAAAGGACUUUAUUAUCUACAUGCGUCAAGGACUUGGUUGCAUUGUUAUGCAAGAUCGUCCUGUUAUUGUCUAUGGUUCUUGAGAGUUACAUCCACAUGAGAAUAAUUAUCCAACACAUGAUGUGGAACUUGCCGCUGUAGUUCAUGCACUGUUAACCUGGAGACAUUACCUUCUCCGCAAUCGUUGCAAAAUAUACACUAAUCACCAGAGUCUCAAGUAUAUAUUCACCCAACCAGAUUUGAAUUUUACGGAAUACGUUGGGUUGAGUUGAUUACGGACUCCGACUUAGGAAUAUCUUACACCCCAGGAAAAGCCAGUGUCAUGGCUGAUGCACUAAGUCGUAAAUCCUAUUGUAAUAACCCCAUGUUUCUACAAAGUCAGCCACUUCUCCACGAGGAAUUUCGUAAGCUUAAUCUUCACAUUGUUACUCAAGAAUUCCUUUCCACCUUGGUGGCGAAACCUACUCUUGAGGAUCAGACCAUAAACCUACUCUUGAGGAUCAAAUCAUAGAAGCACAGAAGCAUGAUACGGGAAUUUCCCAGAUCAAGAGCAAUCUGCGAAAAUAGUUGUUGGUCCCUUCUCUAUAGAUGGUCAAGGUGUUGUAUUCUUUGAGAAUCGUUUGGUGGUUACCAAGAAGCAACAACUUCGAGAACUGAUCCUUAGAGAAGCUCAUGAAUCUCCUCUCAUUAUACAUCUCGAUAGUACUAAGAUGUAUGAGAACCUAUGCCAGAGGUUCUGGUGGAUCUAGAUGAAGAGAUAAAUCGCUUAACUCAUUGCUAACUUUGAUGUUUGUCAUUGCAUUAAGGUAGUGCAUCAAAGGCUUGCUGCCACUCUUCAGCCAUUGGCUAUUCCCGAGUGGAAAUGCGACAAGGUCGAUAUGGAUUUCACCAUCGGCUUUCCAAAGACUAACAAAGGGAAUGAUGCCAUCUUUGUGGUCAUAGAUCGCCUUUCCAAAGUUGAACAUUUCCUUGUAGUUCGAGAAAGUAUAACUGCUAGUCAGUUAGCAGACCUAUAUAUUUCUCGAAUAGUAUCUCUUCAUGGUGUUACUCUAGACGUCAAUUCACACCGUGGAAGUCUUUUCACCUCUCAAUUUUGGGAAAGUUUACAGAAUAUUAUGGGAACCCGUCUCUCCUUUAGCACUGCUUAUCACCCUUAGUCAAGUGGUCAAGUAGAAAGUGUCAAUUAAAAUCUCAAAGAUAUGCUCAGAUCCGGUGUUACCUUAUUUGAAAUUAAUUGUGAGAAAUGUCUUCCGUUCAUAGAAUUUGCUUAUAACAACAGUUUCCAGUCUAGUCUGGGCAAAGCUUCUUUCAAAGUUUUGUAAGGACGAAGAUGUUGAAUGCCAUUAAACUGGUCAGAAACAAGUGAAAUACAAUUCUUUGUACUGGAUAUGAUCCAGGAGGCAGAAGAGCAAGUCUGCAUCAUUCGUGAAAAUUUUAAAACCACCCAAUCUCGUCAAAAGAGCCAAUAUGAUUGUCGUCAUAAGGAAGUAAGUUAUGAAAUAGACGAGAAGGCUUAUCUUCGGGUUUCACUUCUAAAGGGUACCCAUCUGUGGGGACCCCGACUUAUGAGUCGAGAUCGCCGAAUGAACGUGCUCAGUGAUCCCAGAGAUCAAUGCUCACCGAACACAUAGAUACUGAAUAAUAAGAGUCUUACAUCCAUACAUAACGUUUGAUACAACAAAUGAGCUUAUCGGUCCGGUCUUACAUAUAUAGGGCCUUUAGGCCAACAAACCAAAGUGGACCAAUAGCGGAAUUAUUGGUCUAAAGCGUGAACCAUGCCAUCAGCCUUAACCUACACGCAUUCUGAUUGGGAAGCGUCCUAGCUCGCAGGAACGUCACCAAGUUAGUCUUCACCAGAACCUGCUCUCUCAUACCUGGUCAAUGAAAUAACCAAUCGCAAGCCAAUGAGUACUUUGAAUGUACUCGCAAACAGCCCAUGAUAUGAAAAAUGCAAGUGAAGAAUAACAAUAAUAUGCUUCUUUGGUGGAUAUCUUCUUGGUGGCAAAUAAACAUGAUCAUGGGUAUGCAUCAUAAGUUAAAAGCUACUUUUGAAGAACAGGUUACAAAUAUCAAUAUAUCUGUCAAGGGCUGAACCAUCCGGGUUCACCCUAUAUGCCAAGUCACCAAACUUGGUCGUAUCAACUGUUUCAUAAAACACUAUUUAACACAUACUAACACACACACACUUGGUUUAUGCGGAAACGAGUGGACGUAGUUUAAGUUGGAUUACCCAACUGGUAUUGACCGUGGACACGUCUAUUCGAAUAGUUUUACACUCUGAGAGGUAGUACGCUGGACCCACGAGAUUCGGGAAACUUCCGUGUCAUCCACGACUCGCGGUAUAUAACAUACCCGAGGUAAGUACCCAAUAAAUGCCUUCCCCUUGAUGAUAGGAGACAAAGAGUUCCACUCGAUUGGUACCCAGCCCACAUGUUGUAUGUCUUACAAGCACUGACUCUGGAUAGUAUCAUUCAUGCGUGGACCAACUGUGUGCCUGGAAUACGUAAAAACGGCAUAGUCACCCUACUUUGCACAACCCCAUCACGAGAGUGACCACACAUCACUCCCGCCACUAGUAAUGUGGUCUUUGCUAGCACCGACUAGAGUAAUCAACGCAGCCCCGUCCCAUAAAGGGGUAACAUGCUCGUACAUGUAAGGUUGGGAUGGUCGACACAUCAUAAAUCUAAUCCCAUUUCCGAAACCAUACUCACUCAAAAUAACCAGUGCACCACUUUUCGAAAUGUGGCCACCUAACUCAUCAUCACCCUGAGGCACUAGUGGCAUCCGACGGGGUUUUCAUAAACCUUUGAUUUAUGUCAUCAUCAAGCUCAUGCUAAUACUACUCUAAAUUUACUUGUCAGGCAUGCAUCAUAACAUAUGCUUAGACAUAUGCUUAGACAUGGUUAAAGGGCCGCUUGCGUUGCUCACAUAAGUCCUCGGGGUCUUCGAGGUCUUCCGCUCCAACUCCGAGUACUCCGUCUACCCGUCAACUAUCGUCGGAAACAAUCACAGUAAGCCACACAUCAUGCAAAACAAAACUGCUACAAAAAUAGUAGUUAUAUUUUUCUUGGACCUCUCUGGUCAUAAUAAAAAUACCUGAAGCUUGUCGUAGGAGAUUUGAAUCAUCAAGGAUUUUUGAAUGUAUGAGAAGAGGAAUAGGGGAUCCUUUACGAAGCCCACAGAAAAUAUUAUGAUAAAAAUGAGUGGAGGCACUCAUUUGACAAAGAAUAAUUGUAGAAAUAUUUAGGAAGUUGUUUCACUGGAUUUGGAGUUGAAAUGAAUAUUCUAUGGAUUUCUAAUACUAGAUAAAUAGCAAUAGGAAGCUAUUUAUUUAAUGCUACAGAAUAAAGCCUGAUAAAAAUGUUGACCAAGGCUUCAAAAAUAGGGNNNNNNNNNNGUAUAAUAAGGCUCUCGAAAUUGGAAUCACUCCAUUUGGAGUUGAUGAGGAUCCUCCAGGAAUUUCAUAAUGUGGGCUUAAUAUAUUCAAAUAUGUAUUUCAAAAAUAAUACCAUAGAAAGGUUGCUUUGAAAAAUGUGCAAAGCACAUAUUCGGAUAGCCCUUGAUUUUAGGAACCUGCAGGAAUUUGAAUCAAGCAAGUUGGAGUUAAAAUGAAUUUGCUAUUGAUUUAUGAAGUUUUCUGAUAAAAAAAGGGAAAGAGGGCCUCCGGAGUUGGGCUAUCCUCUGCACUCGGCGCUGGAUAGAGAUGGGCCUGCCUAGUGGCUCGGGGUGGCUAGUGGACUGCCCAUGCCGAAGGCGUAUUCCGUCAGGUACGCUUCCCUGGCGCGGAAGCAACUUCGGGCCAGACCGUCUCCACUUACGAGCCAACCCAACUCACGUUUCACCAACCCGUGGGGCCCGCGGACCAGGCUUGUCUUCCUCCUCCCACUCGAUCAGAGUGGGAGCAGGAGAGGCAGGGCCAGCCGGCGCAAGGGCUUGCCCCCGACAGCACCAGCCACCUCUAGUGGUGGUCUGACCACCACCGCGCUCGGGGCGACGAACCACAGGCGUGGGGCCGCCCCCCAGGCCCUGGGAACGCCGAUAUCUGGCACGACGUCGGCCGAGGCGGCUGCACGUGACGUAGGAGUUGCAUGGCGACCUACGCACGCAGAGAAGGGGAGGAAUCAUGGGGAACGGAUGGAGUGAGGCAGGGGCGCUCUUGUGGGAUCCUCGGGGUAUGGAGAGGCCAUAGUGGCCGAACUGGAGAGGAGCCUGACACGGAGGUUUCGGCCAUGGGGGAGGAAAGGGGCAUGGGAGGAGAAAUGGGGGAGUCUGGAGGUUCAAGGAGAGAGGGGAAACGAGAGAAAGAUAGUGAGGGUUCAGGGGAGAGGUAUAGUCGAAGUACUACGAGGGUAGCUCGGAUCCGCCUCUGGUGGUCACUAGCACGGCCGGCACACACGGCCUGAGCGGCUUGGAGUCUACCUGGCAUCAUGAAGGGGGUCAAGGAUACUCUGCUGCGCUCUGGGACAAGCUCCCCUCGCUGGACCCAAGCUGCUGCUAGAUCCCAAGGUGCAGAGCACCGUUUCAGCAUGCCAGGGAAGUGGUCACCACCACUUCUACGUGUCCAAAGCCACCCCUGACCAUAGAAAGGUGUCAAACAUGCAAGGCAUGCAUGCCACAGUGCACUGGUAGAGCUUGGACAGAUAUGCGGCUAGUUUGAAUUGGUUUUGACUGAGGUUAACAUUCCAGGAGGAAACUAAGGGCUGAUAAAAGUGGUUUUCACAAGAAGGGAAUUGAGGUGAAACCUUGUCUACCAGUCUUACACAUGGAAGGACUACAAAAAUGCCAAGUUUGAGAUCAGGCAGAGGUGUGUAGCUAGUACUUGUUGUACAAGGCUACAUUUCUGGCAUAAAUCAACUUGUAGAUGUGCUGCUCAUUUUUCCUACAUGAGCAUGCCAUCUAUUGGUUGGACAUGAUGCCUUGGGAUGCUAGGGGUCCAUUGGAAAGAGAUGGGGGCUUUGGCUUAAGCAGAAGUGGGGCAAGAGGGGUGAAGAUGGUGAUUCCAAGGGUAAAAUGAGGAAUGGUUACAUGGAGCCUCUCUCCAAUAAUAGAACAGUGGCCAUGGAAAUGUUACUGGAGGUAAGAUGUCACUAUAUGAAGCUGUGGUAGAAAGUUGAGCUCAAGGGUUAAAGUGGAAGGGGCCAAAGUAGCCAAUAAAGUGAAAGCACAUAAGGUGUUUGAUGAGUGGAAGAGCAACUAGAUGAACUUCAAUGGAUACGAAACUUAACAGGAUCAACUAAUAGAUGAAAAUAAGCUUGGACAACACAUUUGGGAUUCGGUGGAGAAGGUUUCCAAUGUAGACUUGGAAAACCCAUGAAAUGGGCAGAAAUGGCCUUCUGCUUACAAAGAUGUUCAUAUCAAUUCCCACAAAUCCAAUAUUUGGUGUGGGGACAUUAUUUGAGCACUGAAGCAUGCCCAAAAUGUUUGGGGUCAAUUGGAGAAACUUUAUAAUGUAAAGUUUCCCAAAGUCAGAAAUCAACAGAGAGGGUUUUGAGGGGCUUGGGACAAGUUCUUCUAUUAUCCUUUAUGCACCACUUGGUGUGGAUGCAUUAUUCGAGUAUCAGAACAUGUCCACCAAAUUUGUGCACAAUUGGAGACACUUGACACUGUAGAGUGGCUCAAAUUUGGAUGUGGACAGAUAGGGUUUUAGAAUAAUUAGGGGAGUCAAAUCAACUUGGAUUGAGAUGAAACUUGGCAAGAUCAUCAAACAUAUCAUAGGUGACAUUCUGGAAUUUUACUGGAAUUUAUUGAGAAUAUUUCUUAUAGAAAUAUUCCAAAAGCUUGAAAUAGUCAGGAAAGGUUUUGAAGGGGUUUGCCCAAUAUUUUGAACAUGACCAUGUGUUGAAACUCAUAUAUAUGGAAUAUAUAUGCUCACUGAGUUUCCCUAAAUUUUCUCAAAUAUUUUGAAAGCAAUAAAAUUAACUUGCCUUCAAAAGAGACCUCUUCUCUCCUCAUAGAAAGGCAUUUAACUAAAAUAAUAAAAUAACUUUUAAAAUAAUAAUAUUAUGGUUUUUGGAAUACAUUUGAUAAUAGUUUGUAAAUAAAAUAAUUGGUGCAAAAUAAAUUCCCUAAUUUGAGGACUUGUAGUACAAACCUCAUCUCAGGGGUUUUGAAGGCUUAAUUCAAAGAAAUGCAUUUUGGUGAAAAUAACAUUUGGUAAAAAUAGUUUCUGGUCCUAAACAGAUGGCAUGAUCAUUAGGACGGACUUUUGUGCUAUGGAGGUGAGUCUGGAGUGUAACAAGAAUUACUAGGAAACAACCACAUGGAUACAAGCAAGCAAGCAACAACACUCACUUCAAGCAUCACAAGUAGUCACAUUUUUUUUAAUUGGUCCUAAUUUUUGAAAUAAGUUAAUUAGUCAGGAAAGCUAAACACAGGGUGUUACAGACCUUACCCCCUUAAGAAAAAUCUCGUCCCCGCAAUUUCUUGGCUAGGGGUUCGAGAGAUACAAAAUCUUGAGUCAUAGGUAGUCUUCAUGUCCCCAUGUUGCUGUUGAGGGUCGUGAUGUGCUUGAUGAUACAACUUCAAAUGCUUCGCACGUCCUUGCCUGACUGAGCGGGUUGUGGCAAUAAGUUAGGCUUGACCGAGGGUCGAGGCUUGGUGAACUAAGUUCGUGCAAGGUUUUGGCUUGCAAGUGCAUUCCGAGGUCGGAAUACGUGGCAAGAUAGUGCGUCUGGCUUCUGGUCCCGGGGCUUCGCAUGCCGGUUAGUGACAUCUAGAUGUCUUGCGUUAGAACAUAAGGGUCAAGGCCUUCGCAUAGCUCCCUGUUGUUGGAAAAGUCAUUGACUCCCUUAAGGCAUGCAAGCGAUGGUCGCAGGUGAUCUUCAUCCUCGAGGGUGUUGCAGUGGUCUUCGAAAGCUUCUCGCCAAAGGGUCUGGGUUGGGUCUCACCCAUGAGUCUAAGCUUGGAGACUCAGAGUCCAGAAUAGGACCUGUCAUCUCGGAGGGUUUGCGAGGGCUUUUGGAUGAGCUGGCUACCCAAGAGUAUAGACCAGUCGUCCACUCCCAAGGUCAGCGGCUCGGCAACUGGGUGAAUCACCUUUAGCACGCUUCCACCAUAAUCGAGUUGAGAAUCUCGUACUUGAUUUCGACCAAGAAGAAGUCAUCUGAUUCUCUCGUUUGUCCAAAGGCUUCAUCGUCUUGAAUCGUCGAGGCUUCGUGACGUUGUUGAUGUAGUCGGUGCACGAUUGGUAGUUGGCUUCUAUUGCUUCUUCGUCAUUGUCGUGGCUUCCCAACCAUGGCGGUUCUUCGUCUUGACUUGAGUAGGAUAGACUAUCGCUGUCUUGGGGUUGCUUCGAGAAGCCCACCUUCUCGAGAUAACACUGUACCCUCGAGAGGCAUAGCGAUCGGCGUUCCUGGGGCUCGUCCAAACAGGACUAAGGUGUUCCACCUCUUAUUGGGUGAAUAAGUAUGUCAUCAGUGAGGAUGACAACAUAUUUUCCCCAAGCAUGACAUAAGCACAGUGCUCAUGAGACAGGUGAGGAGAACGGGGACUUGCUAUGGGUGGUCGCUGGCCGAAGGUUUGUGGUCCAACAUGACCUAGUCCUUCAUGCCCAUGUUNNNNNNNNNNNNNNNNNNNNNNNNNNNNNNNNNNNNNNNNNNNNNNNNNNNNNNNNNNNNNNNNNNNNNNNNNNNNNNNNNNNNNNNNNNNNNNNNNNNNUCCUGCUAGUCUUGUCUUACCUUAGCGGUAUAUCUUGCGUAUAGGAAUCUCGGUGAAGCUUUGGUUCUCCCCACAGUUGAGGUUUUCCUCUAAGGAAUCCGACGAGAUCACGAGAUUCAUGGUAGAGGAUUACUUUGCGGCCCGUGACCAUUUGUGAUGGACUAGAUGGAGCACCCCUGCAGGGUUUAAUCUUUCGGAAAGCCAUGCCCACGGUUAUGUGACAACUUGGAAUAUUUGUUAACAUCCAGUUAUAGAUAACUUGAACUAAUCGAAUAAAAUUGCCAACUGUGUGCGUAACCGUGACUGUCCCCUUCGAAGACCGCUCUUCGAUCGGGAACACGGUGGUGUUAUGAUUGACGUAAGUAGGUAUUCAGGAUCACUUAGUGAUCAGCUAGGCAUCGAUCGCUAGUAUAGACCACCUUCAAUACAUGUUCUACGUAAGUUAGCAGCCAUAAAUGCUUAGGAUGCUGCAACCUAAACACUGAACCUUUCCUUACCUAAUAACUUGACUAGUUCUGGCACCGAGGUCAUAGAUUGCUGAGUCCCCGUGUCUCACAUAUUACUUCAACACACCAACAGGUACAGGUAAGCCCGACAUAGGUGAUCCGACGGCACGCAGCUGGCAUGGCAGUACGAUGAGGAGACCGGCCCCUUGUACGUGAACUAUCCAGAAGACUGAAGCGUGGUCGUGAUCGUGGGCAAGCACGCGCGGUAGCAUAGCCUUUUUCUCAUGUUAUGUAGUCUGUAGCGGAACUACCUUGUUUGUAUGCGUGGUGUNNNNNNNNNNNNNNNNNNNNNNNNNNNNNNNNNNNNNNNNNNNNNNNNNNNNNNNNNNNNNNNNNNNNNNNNNNNNNNNNNNNNNNNNNNNNNNNNNNNNUACAUAAUUUCUUGGUAUAAGGUAAAGGUAAUUGCACUCACACUAGAACCCACAUCACAUAAGCCAUGAUAACAAUGAUCUCCUAUUUUAACAGAAACAACACGCACGCCAACAAUAGGUCUAUGUUUACCCUUAGUAUGAGGUCUAGCAAUUCUAGCGGAUUCAUCACAGAAGUGAAUGACAUGCCCAUCAAUAUUAUAAACCAAGAGAUCUUUAACCAUAGCAAUAUUAGGUUCAACUUUAAUUUGUUCAGGAGGUAUAGGUGUCCUAGCAUAACUCUUAUGAACCACAGCUGAAGCUUUAGCAUGUUCUUUUAUCCUAACAGGAAAGGGUGGUUUCUCAGCAUUGUAAAUAACAGUUUCUUCUUCAAAUUUAAUAGGUUCUACCAAUUUAAAUUCAAUGGGAGGAUGAUAUUUAAACCACUUCUCCUUGGGGAUAUCAACACGAGUAGCAAAAUAUUCACAAAAUCAAGCUACUACCUCAGGGCCAAGUCCGUAUUUAGUGCUAAAAUCAUGAAAAGUAUCGGUGUCUAUAAAGGAUUUAACAGAAUCAAACUUAGGGCUUAUACCUGACUCAUUACCUUUGUUGAGUUCCCAAUCUUCAGAGUUGUGUUUAAUUCCUUCCAAUAAUUCCCAUUUGAAUUCAAUAUCUUCCUUCAUAAAGGAACCAGCACAAGAAGUGUCGAGCAUGGAUUGAUCAUUACGAGUGAGCCGAGCAUAAAAAUUCUGAAUAAUAAUUUCUCACAGAAUCUCAUGAUUGGGGCAUGAAUAUAACAUUGACUUAAGCCUCCCCCAAGCUUGACCAAUUCUUUAUACUUCACGAGGCCAAAAAUUAUAAAUAUAAUUCCGAUCAUGAUGAACCAGAUGCAUAGGAUAAAACUUCUGAUGAAAUUCCAAUUUCAAUCGGUUGUAGUUCCAUGAUCCAAUAUCAUCACAUAGCCUAUACCAUGUCAACACCUUUUCCUUAAAAGAUAAAAGAAAGACCUUCUUCUUGACAUCAUCCUAUGGCAGACUUGCAAGCUUAAAUAAUCCACAAACUUCACCCACAUAGAUUAGGUGCAAAUCAGGAUAUAGUGUUCCAUCUCCUGCAUAAGGAUUAGCUAGCAGUUUUUCUAUCAUACCCGAAUGAAUUUCAUAAUAAAUAUUUUCAGUAGGUGCAACAGGUUGAUGAGCAUCUCUUUUUUCUUACGGUCGGGGUGAAGAUACCCCGAACAAGCUCCUCAAAGGAUUAUUUUCCAUAGUGACAAGUGACAGUAAAUUUCAGCACAGUAUAUAAAAUUUUCCUUACCAAGUUCCACUUACCAAAGGUGCUUCACUCUCUGGCAAUGACACUAGAAAAGAGUCUUGAUGACCCACAAGUAUAGGGGAUCUAUCGUAGUCCUUUCGAUAAUUAAGAGUGUCGAACCCAACGAGGAGCAUAAGGAAAUGACAAGCGGUUUUCAGUAAAGUAUUCUCUGCAAGCACUGAAAUUAUCGAUAAUAGAUAGUUUUGUGAUAAGGUAAUUUGUAAUGAGUAACAAGUAACAAUUGUAACAAAGGUGCAGCAAGGUGGCCCAAUCAUUUUUGUAUCAAAGGACAAGCCUGGACAAACUCUUAANNNNNNNNNNNNNNNNNNNNNNNNNNNNNNNNNNNNNNNNNNNNNNNNNNNNNNNNNNNNNNNNNNNNNNNNNNNNNNNNNNNNNNNNNNNNNNNNNNNNNNNNNNNNNNNAAAGCGCUCCCGAGGACACAUGGCAAUUUAUGUCAAGCUAGUUUUCAUCAUGCUCAUAUGAUUCAUGUUCGUUACUUUGAUAAUUUGAUAUGUGGGUGGACCGGUGCUUGGGUGAUGCCCUUACUUGAAAAAACCUCCCACUUAAGACUAACCUCUCUCGCAAGCACCGGCAACUACGAAAUAGGAACUAAGAUAAAUUUAACCAUACCAUUAAACAUAUGGAUCCAAAUCAGCCCUUACGAAGCAACGCAUAAACUAGGGUUUAAGCUUCUGUCACUCUAGCAACCUAUCAUCUACUUAUUACUUCCCAAUGCCUUCCUCUAGGCCCAAAUAAUGGUGAAGUGUCAUGUAGUCGACGUUCACAUGACACCACUAGAGAAGAGACAACAUAUAACUUAUCAAAAUAUCGAACGAAUACCAAAUUCACAUGAUUACUUAUAACAAGACUUAUCACAUGUCCCCAGGAACAAACGUAACUACUCACAAAGCAUAUUAAUUUUCAUAAUCAUAGGAGUAUUAAUAAUCAUUAAGGAUCUGAACAUAUAAUGUUCCACGAAAUAAACCAACUAGCAUCAACUACAAGGAGUAAUCAACACUACUAACAACCCACAUGUACCAAUCUGAGGUUUUGAGACAAAGAUCAGAUACAAGAGAUGAACUAGGAAUUGGAGAGGAGAUGCUUCUGAUGAAGAUGUUGAUGAAGAUUGACCCUCUCUUGAUGAGAGGAUCGUUGGUGAUGACGAUGGCUUCGAUUUCCCCCUCCAGGAGGGAAGUUUCCCCGGUGGAAUAGCUCCGUCGAAGCUCUAGAUUGGUUAUGUCGAAGUUCCACCUUGAGACGGCGGCGUCGCGUCUCGAAAGCUCUGAUAUGAUUUUUUCAGCUCAAACCCUUGAUAUAGCAGAAGAUGGGCACCGAAGGCCUACCAGGGGCCCACAAGCCAGCAGGGCGCGGCCAGGGGUUAGGCCGCGCCCCGUGGGCUUGUGACCUCCUCGUGGGUCCCCUCCGGUACUUAUUUCGCCUAUUAUUUUUUAUAUAUUCCAAAACAAUACUCCGUAACUUUUCAGGACUUUUGGAGCUAUGAUAAUAGAACUAGUAGGGAAAACCUUAUAGGUAGGAGCCUAGUAGUAGCGCUGGAAAAUACCACACGNNNNNNNNNNNNNNNNNNNNNNNNNNNNNNNNNNNNNNNNNNNNNNNNNNNNNNNNNNNNNNNNNNNNNNNNNNNNNNNNNNNNNNNNNNNNNNNNNNNNCUGCAUCACGUAGUACACUGAGGACUGGUUCCAUGCAGGGAAUUUCUUCAAGGUCAGCAUGAGGAAUGUGCCUGUGCUGGAAUAUCUUGUUGCGGCCACAGAGCACAGAAGCAUAGUAGUUCAUCUGCGUUCUUGUCCAAAACUUCAGAUGCCGCAUUUGAGGCUUGUCAUAAGGAUUCUCUCUGAUGAAAUACAUGCGUUCCUCAAAGAAAUUUUCUUUCUGAAACUUUGGCCUCUUCGAGAAUGGCAGGCACUGAACUGGAUUGAGAUUUUGCUGAGGAAUGGGAGGGGAAACAACCAUGGCAGAUUCUGGGUUGAGGACAAUGAACUCAUUGUCAAGAGCGGGAACAUUUUCUUCAGCAAUUUCCUCAGGAUGAGGAAUUUUUUGUUCUAGCUGAGCAUCAGGCUGAGGAAUUUCUUCAUCCUUCUCAGCUUGAGGAGUUUGAUCAGCUUGUUCAGUGGGAGGAGCCUGCUCAGACUGGACAUUUUCUUCAGCUUGAUUUUCAUCAGCUGACUUUGUGGUAGAAGCAGAUUCAUCAGCUGCUGCAGCUGAGGCUUCAGUAGUCUCUUUCUGNNNNNNNNNNNNNNNNNNNNNNNNNNNNNNNNNNNNNNNNNNNNNNNNNNNNNNNNNNNNNNNNNNNNNNNNNNNNNNNNNNNNNNNNNNNNNNNNNNNNUUGAAUAACAAAAAUUAAGGGGAUUUUUUAUAAAAAUGGCAUGGUGAGUUUUCCGACGGAAGCAAUAGCCGUUUUAUUAUUAGGUAUAGAUGGUUUGUGUGAAGUGUCCGUUGACUAAGUUUGCACCUUCCCUUUCUUCGACUCGUAUGCCUGCCCGAUUGCAUCCCAGUAUGCAGGCAUCGCCUCGGAGUCGAGAACUUCUUUGAAUGAAGGAAGAUAGUUUAGGUCCACUAUGACAUGGUCUCCACUACCCUCUUGAACCUGCAUAUUCAAAAUGCUAGGUUUUACAGCUGAAGUAGAAUGUGCAACAUGAAAAGAUAAUGGUGACUGGAAGUGUUGAAGACUUACAGUGGGAAAAGGUUACUCUCUUUGUAGCUGCACUGAAUUCUAAAAGCAUAAUCCAUACAUGAAGAAAUACUUACAACAACAAAAGGUCCCGACGUUGCAAGGAGAGCACACAUGUGAGGGUGUUCAGGACCUACAUCAUCAACAUGCCACUGUUAACUAGGUGGCUAGGUCUGUUGAGGCAAGGCUGAGAGAUAAUCCGCAGAUUAAGCCAAAAGAGAUAUUGCAGGAUAUUCGGGACUAGCAUGGGGUUGCUGUGUCUUAUAUGCAGGCAUGGCGCGGAAAGGAGAGNNNNNNNNNNNNNNNNNNNNNNNNNNNNNNNNNNNNNNNNNNNNNNNNNNNNNNNNNNNNNNNNNNNNNNNNNNNNNNNNNNNNNNNNNNNNNNNNNNNNAACAAAGAGGGUGACACAACUAAGGGCUCAAAUAUAAUUGUUUCUUAAAUAACUCAAGGCUUAGAGGAUGCGACGUGUUAUUACCCACUAUGAAUGUAUUAUCAUAGACUAGUAACAUGUACAUAUUACUAGUUUAAGCUAUUUUCCACUGUGAUCAGCCUUAGAGAAAAACAGCAGAUCUGCAUUAACAUAUUUAAUUAGAUACGAAUAGUAACAUGACAUUUACACAUUAAAAGUACACAACUCUAUGUAGCCAAUCAAGCAUAACCAAUCGCCAACCAAUCCCUACAUUUACAUACUGCAUCAAAUUGGAAUGGAAGAAAAAAUAGUAGUGAGAACCUAAAGUUAAUUAGGUGAAAAAUGCAAGGUAGUGAAUCGCGGCAAUAUAUUCUAUAAAUUCGAUGGAAUAAGAUGCACACAAGAAAUCAGCAAUAGGUAGUGGGAAUUUUGGGUUCUCACUAGUAAUGUCACUGCGGAGCCGCCCCGCCUACUGUUGCACGGUGCGGAGGGCACCUUGGCAACUGCUGAUAGCGUCAGUGGAGCCCUCGCGGCGACCUUGCCCCUACCGGCGUUGGCGGAGCAAUCGCUAAGCGACCNNNNNNNNNNNNNNNNNNNNNNNNNNNNNNNNNNNNNNNNNNNNNNNNNNNNNNNNNNNNNNNNNNNNNNNNNNNNNNNNNNNNNNNNNNNNNNNNNNNNGGAAGCUCGAGAAGAAGUUUGAAGGUCUGGAACUUCACCAUGUUCCCCGACUGAAAAACCAAGCGGCAGUUGAAUUGGCGAAACUUGGAUCCACUCGGAGACCGGUCCCGAGUGAUGUCUGCCUCGAGCACCUACACCUCCCCUCAGUAAAAGAAGAUCCUUUUACAGAGGGACCGGUACAACCGAAGAGCUCAACAGAUCCGAUUGAAAUCGAGGUCCCUCUGUGGUUGAUUUGAUCAUGGAGAUUCUUGCUCUCAUCCCCGAAUGGACUGUGUCGUUCAUUGCGUACAUCCUGAGGCAAGAGUUACCAGAAGACGAAGUUCAAGCUAGGCAGAUCGUCCGCAGAUCGAAGUCCUUCACCGUCAUUGAUGGCCAGUUGUACAAAGAAAGUGUUUCAGGCGUCCUUCAGCGGUGCAUCUCCCCUGAGGAGGGACAGUUAAUCUUGGAAGAAAUUCACUCAGGAACAUGCGACCAUCAUGCCUCCUCAAGAGCAAUCGUCGCCAAAGCAUUCAGAGCUGGUUUCUUCUGGUUGCAAGCGAAUGAAAUGGCAAAAGAUAUGGUCGACCGAUGCGAAGGCUGUCAGUUCUAUUCGAACAAGUCCCACAAGCCAACAUCUGCGCUGAAGACAAUCCCUCUUGUUUGGCCGUUCGUCGUGUGGGGAUUAGAUACAAUCGGACCAUUCAGAACAGGCCAAGGGGGAUUCACUCAUCUGCUGGUAGCAGUCGACAAGUUCACCAAGUGGAUUGAAGCCAAGCCCAUCAANNNNNNNNNNNNNNNNNNNNNNNNNNNNNNNNNNNNNNNNNNNNNNNNNNNNNNNNNNNNNNNNNNNNNNNNNNNNNNNNNNNNNNNNNNNNNNNNNNNNAAUAAACAGCGCAAAAAAUUACAAAUAAAAUGUAAUUUAUCACAACAAAAAUGUUUUCCUUUUAAAUAAAAUCUUGAUUUUUUAUUUCAGAAAACACCUUCUAAAAAAACCGUGCUUGCUGAUAAAAAAUACGCGUGGCAUCGCGCCGGAAGUCCACGACAGUGUAGUCAGCGUCGGGGUGUACCCUGCCGAUCAAGGGGAUCACGGGGAGGCUGUCGUGGACUGGAUCUUGUCCGAGUUGAUAGACGGCUAUUAUUUAUGUCCGAGUUGACAGAUGGCUAUUAUUUAUAGUUAUAGCCUGCAUGUGGAUAUGUAGUUGUUGUUCACUUUAGAUACACUUUCGGAAUAUGGCCAUGCAUAGGGUGCAUGCGACGAAGCAUAUGACCAGUACGAGUCCAAAUCCUAUUUAGAUUCCUACGUAGGUCCAAAACCUACUUGGUAGCAGGCACAGUUGGUGCUACAGAUAAUUUGCCAGUCAAGCGUGUCUGUAUACGAAUCAGAUUAUAUUGUACAACGACUCCAAGUCCUAUUUAGAUUCCUAAAGAAGUCCAAAACCUACUUAGGGACAGCCACGGUUGGUUCUACAAAUACUAUCUCCAGGUGAUUGUUAUCUUACACAAUCCCAAGCCUUUGGUUCAAUCAACAUCUCAAUUUCACACGUCGCCCUGUAGUACUUGCCUUCGUCANNNNNNNNNNNNNNNNNNNNNNNNNNNNNNNNNNNNNNNNNNNNNNNNNNNNNNNNNNNNNNNNNNNNNNNNNNNNNNNNNNNNNNNNNNNNNNNNNNNNAGUCUUCGAGGGAUGCUUGGAUCUGGUCAUUUUCCCAGAUUCACAUGCACCGCAGAGAUGAUCCUUGAGGAAUUUGACUGAUUUGAUGCCGAUGACAUGCUUCUUCUUUGCGAGCGUGUGCAAAUUCCUCAUGCCUGCAUGACCGAGUCUUCGAUGCCACAACCACCCUUCUGAGGUUUUUGCUAGUAAGCAAGUGGCUGGAUGAGGACCUGUAGAGAAAUCAACAAUGUACAAAUCCCCUCUUCUGACACCUUCGAAGACUUUGGAUUUGUCAGAUUCCAUGAUCACAACACAUCUAUAUCUACCAAAGAUAACAAUCAUAUCAAGAUCACAAAGCACCGAUACUGACACGAGGUUAAAUCCAAGGGAUUCAACAAGCAUCACUUUGUCCAUAUGCCUAUCCUUGGAAAUAGCCACUUUGUCAAGUCCCAAUACCUUGCUUUUACCUUUGUCAGCAUAUGUGAUUUGCUUCAGAGGUGAUGGAAUUAGUGGCAUAUUCACCAGCAAUCUUUUAUCACCAGUCAUGUGAUGUGUGCAGCCACUAUCAAGAACCCACUCAGUACUCUUGGGUUUGUCAUCCUGCACAUGAAUUAGUACAGCUUACCAUCUCACAUGCUUCAGAUUUGAAGAAUAUGAUAUCAAUUUCAUCAGAUAGGAAUUUCAUCAUAACUGAAUUAUAAGGACGUGUUAAAUAUUUCUAUUUGUAAGUGCAUCUAGUGCCCCUUAGUGAUUUUGGUGGUUUGAAGACUUAUAGGUUAAGUAUCUAAUGUGUUUUUAAGUGUACACAAGAUCUAUAAGUCAUUGAGAAGUUUGAGAUAUUUGAAGAAUAUCGACCCCUAAAAAUAUAUGUCUUCAGUUGAAGAAAUUGGUCUGAAGCUGAAGAAAUGAAUCGCGAAGAAUUUGCGAUGAAAUGGAUAUUCCUCAUGAAGAUAUUGAUAUUGAGAAGAUCGGUGGUUCCUGAAGAAAAUCGUUCUGAAGAAAUUGAAGCAUGAAGAUUUUCGUUUUCUAUUUUACUUUCUUCGCAUUUGAUGAAUAGGAACACCGUAGUGUUAAAGGGGGUCAAAGUAACACUAUGGAAUGGGUUUCCUCAUGAUGCUCAACCCAAGCCAAAUCCUACCAAAAGCCUCAAGUGAGGAAUAUGAGUAACAUGAGGACUCUCACAGUUGAGAGUCCCGACCGUUUCGAUAAGCCACGCCAAGUCACUGAUCUUAUCCACUCCAACGGUCAUAUUAUUUAAGGGCAUUAAUGUCAAAUCAUGUCGGGAUGCUCCNNNNNNNNNNNNNNNNNNNNNNNNNNNNNNNNNNNNNNNNNNNNNNNNNNNNNNNNNNNNNNNNNNNNNNNNNNNNNNNNNNNNNNNNNNNNNNNNNNNNUAUAGCAUAGAGGGAAAAAGGGUCCGAUCACAUUCACUUAGCAGAAACAUCAACUUGAAGAAUUAGCAAUAAGUGAAUGUUGUUGAGGACUAGAAAUCACAGUCUACCUAGGCAAAUGAAAGUCAUCAAGUGUUUUUGAAGAUUUUGCAANNNNNNNNNNNNNNNNNNNNNNNNNNNNNNNNNNNNNNNNNNNNNNNNNNNNNNNNNNNNNNNNNNNNNNNNNNNNNNNNNNNNNNNNNNNNNNNNNNNNNNNNNNNNNNNNNNNNNNAGAUCAUCACAAUUAAGAACAGCUGUUUUGAUGAAAAAUGCAUUGUGAGGAAUUUGAUCAUUUGAAGAAAAUCAACUUGAGGAAUUUCACAUUGGGCGGUGGCGUUGCCCACCAUAUAAGAAUGUUGAUUACAGACGCCGCGUACAAUUGUCGUAGGGCCCUGAGAAUCAAUUUCUUCGUUAAUUUCUUCACAUUCAGAGUGAUUUUCUUCAUUGGUUGAAGAAAAUCAUUUCAUCAUGUGUUGCACAUCUAAGUCAUCAACUUUGCAUAAGUGUUAGGAUGUGUGCAUGUUUUUACAAAACAUUUGAAGACUCUAAGAUAUUUAGNNNNNNNNNNNNNNNNNNNNNNNNNNNNNNNNNNNNNNNNNNNNNNNNNNNNNNNNNNNNNNNNNNNNNNNNNNNNNNNNNNNNNNNNNNNNNNNNNNNNNNNNNNNNNNNNNNNNNNCGCAACUUGCAAAACCUUUUCUCAUCCAAGGGAUUAGUGAAGACAUCAGCCAGUUGAUCAUCAGUCUUCACAUGGUCGAUGAGGAUAUUGCCCUUGAGGACAUGGUCACGAAGAAAAUGAUGACGAAUUUGGAUGUGCUUGGUCUUCGAGUGCUGUACUGGGUUGUAGGCAAUCUUGAUAGCACUCUCAUUGUCACAGUAGAGAGGCACAUUCUUUAUGUUGAUGCCGUAGUCCUUGAGGGUUUGCUUCAUCCAUAGUAAUNNNNNNNNNNNNNNNNNNNNNNNNNNNNNNNNNNNNNNNNNNNNNNNNNNNNNNNNNNNNNNNNNNNNNNNNNNNNNNNNNNNNNNNNNNNNNNNNNNNNAUUUCAUGUGUAAAGAAUUCCAAUCAUUUGCUUUAUGUAAUAAAUAUACAAUUUUGCUGAUAAGGAUAAUUUUUUAUUUUGCAAAUGUAAGGGGAUUUCACAGAGGAACUAGCUAACUUCCACUAUUUUUUUCCAGCUAUACAGAUUGUUUCAGUUCAUGCACCAACAUACACCGCACUGAAGAAAACAACAAUAAAUGAAACAUCUCUAGUACAAUAUCAAGUCUGCUAUGAUAAUGUGGUGCCAUGACUCAGGAGCACCAGUUAAUGGUUUGAUACAUAAACUUUUACCUGCACACUUGACUCCUCGUCAUUAACACACGAAAUAAUCUCCACAAAGGCAUAUCUUGUAUCCGCAUUCCGACUUGAAGCACAAAGAUCACGGAUACUAUUGAUCACACGUUUGCGAACACUUACUCCAGUGUCCUUUGUCCGUUCAGUGAC
This 49022-nucleotide long non-coding RNA is filed under the name Hordeum vulgare. RNAcentral's name for it is "long non-coding RNA (HVUL_LNC004145)". The record is from RNAcentral. Lineage: Eukaryota; Viridiplantae; Streptophyta; Magnoliopsida; Poales; Poaceae.